Molecule: long non-coding RNA, 84269 nt
Filed under: Gossypium barbadense (sea-island cotton)
Lineage: Eukaryota; Viridiplantae; Streptophyta; Magnoliopsida; Malvales; Malvaceae
Description: long non-coding RNA (GBAR_LNC017418)
Source: RNAcentral
UUCGAUAGAAGGGACAUCCUUCUUGGCCUUGGAGGAGGUCUCUACGGUGCAACCAGCCUUGUUAGAGACCCAUUCGCAUUGGCAGUCGUCCCAAUCGAGCCUGACCUGUCCAGCUGUGGGGAAUCAACCGUAGAUACCGGUAAAACCUGCAUGAAUGUCCCUUGCUGCCCACCAAAGUUAAAAGAUUCAAAGAUCAUAGACUUCGAACCACCUUUAGGUUGCAAGAUCCGUUAUCGGCCGGCAGCACAUUUAGUUGAUCGUGAUUACCUGUAUAAAUUUGAAUCGGCAAUGGAGAGAAUGAAAGCUCUCCCUGUGGAUGAUCCACGUAAUUUCAUGCAACAAGCCAAUAUUCAUUGUGCCUAUUGCAAUGGGGCUUAUAGUCAAGUGGGGUUCCCCGAUCAAAAACUUGAAGUUCACUACUCGUGGCUUUUUUUCCCAUUCCAUAGGAUGUAUCUGUAUUUCUUCGAGAGGAUAUUGGGCAAGUUGAUUGGUGAUCCAGAUUUCGCAAUGCCAUUUUGGAACUGGGAUUCUCCCUGUGGGAUGACUAUGCCUCAGAUAUAUUUAGACCCUUACUCUCCAUUGUACGAUGAAAACCGCAAUUUGGAGCAUCAGCCUGACGUUUUGGUUAAUCUUAAUGACGGUAAAUCUUUUGUAAAACCAAAAAAAAAAGAUGAUUUUUAUGAAUUAACAAAGAGGGAACAAAUAAAGAGUAAUCUCUAUGUGAUGUAUCAGCAAAUGGUACGGUCCAGCAAGACCGCUUCUUGUUUCCAUGGAGCGGCGUACCUUGGCGGUUGUGCAUCCGAAACCGAUAUCGGUUGUACUCCCGAACCGAGAGGUGGUACCAUUGAGAACGGUGCUCACAUCGCCGUUCACAAGUUCGUUGGUGCCAAGAAUCCACCUUAUAACGAAGACAUGGGGAAUUUCUAUUCUGCUGGUAGAGACCCUUUGUUCUACGCUCAUCAUGGCAAUGUUGAUCGAAUGUGGAACAUUUGGAAGACAUUGCCAGGGAAGAAGCGACGUGAUUUCGACGAAAAUGUUUGGCUCAAUUCUUCGUUUCUUUUCUACGAUGAGAAUGCAAAUAUGGUUCGUGUUAAAGUUCGCGAUUGCCUUGACUCUAAAACUUUGGGGUACGAUUACCAAAGUGUUGAUAUUCCGUGGCUUAGAAGCAAGCCAACAUCUCGAAGGAGUCGUCUUGGUGUGGGGCGGGGUCAGGAUCAGGGUCAGGAUGUAGCAGCCAGACGAAAGAGUAAAAACCGCAGGAGCUUUCCUAUAGUUUUAGACAAGGUGGCCGUGCGCAUUGAGAUUCCAAGGCCAAAGAAACCAAAGAAAAAAGAUGAUGAAGAAGUAUUGGUUCUUCAAAACAUACAGCUAGACAGAAAUGACUCAGUGCAAUUCGAUGUCUCCAUUAAUGACGAUGAAGACGACGACAACCCUUGCAAACCGGAAGAUGCGGAGUUCGUGGGGAGCUUUUCGAAUUUACCGCACGGAGAUAAUUGCCACUCCGAGGCGAUGCUUAGUACAAAUCUGUAUUUGCCAUUAUCAGAAGCGCUGGAGGAUUUGAAGAUUAAUCCAUUUGAAGAUAGCAUUGUGGUGACUUUGGUGCCUAAAGAAGGGGAAGUUUCGAUUGGUAACAUUAAGAUCGACUACGUUUGUUGAUUUGGGGGUGAAUAUUUUGCUUCAUCCUUUGUGUUCUCGCUAGAUCGGAUUGAUGGGGUUCAUUAAUUUGUUUCUUGCAUGUGUCUCUCUUUUUUUUUAAUAAAAAUAUCAAGCUAAAUGAACAAAAGCAGCGGCAGCUUUAUCUUGCUCAAGAAGAUAAUCAACUCCUAAACGCGCCUGAUAUUUUCUGCCUAUCAUCAAUUCAAUCACGAGAUAUUUUAGUUAACAGAGUAACAACUUGAUUUCUUUAACUAUCCAAUACUUCUUGCACUGUAACAUCUAUUUAAUUCGUCCAACCAAAACUAAAUUUGAUACCUCCAAAUAGCCAUCUUGAAUAGCAUUGAAUGCUUCCAAGUAAUCUGUUUAAAUUAAGGCUUUGACAUAUCUUAUAAGAUUAACUCGUCUGAGAUACUCUAGAAUUCAAUAUUAAAGAUUGAACAAACAUCUAAAUUAUGAUUGAACCCGACAAUCCAAUCUUGCCAAAUUUUAUUAUUAAAUUUUACCAUUUACUUUUUGUAUUAUUUAUAAAUUUUAAGUAUAAUGGUUUAUUUGAUCUUUCAGCUUUAUAAAAAAAAUAUCAUUUUAGUUCUUCAUUUAAUUUUGUCUCUUUUUAACCCUUAAAUUUAUGUUGUUUAUCAAAUUGUCCCAAAAUAAAUGAAAAAAUUAAUAUCUAUUAACUUUGUUGACACAUCCACGUGUAUGCCACAUCAACAUUUACUUAAUUCUUUUUACAAAAUUAAAAAGCAUUAAAAUUAUAAAAAAAUAUUAUAAAAUUAUAAGUUUUAUUUAAUAAUAAAAUUAUAAUAAAAUUCUAUAAAUUUUAGAAUUUUUAAAAAUUUUAAUCAAUUAUUGAUGUGACAUACAUGUGGAAUGUCACAUAAACAAAAUUAUUAAGCGUUAAUUUUUCUAUUCAUUAUAAAGUGUUUUGACAAAAAAAACUAGUUUAAUAGUUAAAAGUGGCGAAGAUUAUAUGAAGGGUUAAAAUGACUUUUUUGUUUUCUAAAGUUGGAGGACUAAAUAAAUCAUUAUGCUUAAAUUUUAUCAUAUUUAUAAAUAAAAAUUUUAAUUUUACUAAAAUAUUUUAUUAAAUAUAUUUACUUUAUAAAAAAAUUGUCAUACAUUUAUAAGAAUUUCGAGUCAAUUAAAAUACUUUAAUUAAAUUAUUAUGUUUUCAUUAACCCAAAAAAGUUAUAUUACUUAUUUUUAAAUGAAUUUUUUUAAUUAUUUAUAUGAUAGGUAGCUUUAUAUUUUACAUGCAAUAUUUUAUAAAGAAUACAUUUAUAUAAUCUAAUCUAAUAUAUUAUAAUUAUAUGAAGGCUUGAUUCGUAAAUUGGUAUCUAAGUUAUGUUAUUUUUUUCCAUCUUGGUAUCUAAACUUUUUUUUUUAUCAGUUAUCCUUAAGCUAUUUUUUCCCCAAAUUAGUAUAUCUGUUAGUUAACCCAUUAAAUCUAUUUUUAAAAAAAAAGUUCAACCCACAAAUUAGUACCUAAGCAGUACUCUUUUUCCCAAAUUGGUACCUAAUUUUUUUUUUAUCAUAAGUGAUACCUAAACUAUUCUUCCAUCACCAUUUUACACCAAAAUGUUAUAUUCGUUAAAAAAAUUACAACCAAUUAUAGAUUGUCACUUCAUAUAAACUUUUAAUUGUUUUAACUUUUUUUAUUUAUUUUACAUUAUUUCUCUCUUUAUAUAUUUUAUUUAUUUAUUUUUCUUCUUUUAUAAUGCCUAGUAAUACCAACAAUACUUAAAAUUGAUUCGCUCGAGGUUGAGAUGCCGGUAAUUAAUUGUGUUUUGAAAUUUCACCAUGUUGAUUAUGUGAAUUAUAUUUAAUUUGAGUUGGAAUCACAAUAAAUAAUUAUAUAUAUUUAUGCAAGAAAUUAAGAAUUUUAUAUAGUUCAUGAAUAAUAUAUAAUUCAUAUAAGGCUUAAUCCAACAUUCACCCUUGGGCAUUUCCAGCAUACUUCAACAUCUACACCGUAUGAUCAGUUGGCAGCCCAAUCACUAACUUCUGUCGACGAACAGCCUUACACUCCGCUGCAAACAAUCCCAUCCACUCCAAGCUAGGGGCCAUAAAUCAACCCCAACAAUCGCCCCACACCAUCCUUGAACACUAUUGGAACCCACCAUUGUUUGAAAAGUCAAAUGGGGUGGGCACCAAAAGUAGAAAGUAAUAUUGGUUGGCAAGUUGGGUUAAAAUUUGGCAUGGGAUAAUUGCAAUUUUGGUCCCUAAUUGUAUAGGGACAUUGCAAGUUGAUCCUUGAACCUCAACUAUAAAUAGGCCUAACCAUUGCUUACUUUCUUCAUCCCAUAAUUGCCAUUCUCUACUUAAGGCAUUAUUCUCUCUCUCUAUUUGUAAAUUUCACUUGUAAUUUUUGGAGUGAAAUAUAUUUGGUAGUGCCCGAGGACGUAGGUAAAAUUUGCUGAACCUCGUUAAAAUUCUGGUGUUCUUUAUUAUUUGUUUUGCAUAUUUUGUGAAUGUGAUUGUAGUGAUUUAUUGUGCUAUUAAAUUACGAUAGAGGGAUAUUCUGGCUAGGAAAGACUUGGUAUUUAAGUGAUCUUCGUGAUCUACCUCUCUUUCCUGGGAAUUGAACUUAGUGUGAUUUUUCAGUACAAUAAUUUUACUCUUUCACACGCUUCCGCGCAACAAUUGGUACCAGAGCCAGGUUCGUACUUGGGGAAUACGACCGUUUACGGUACUAUUCACGUAUACAGCACUAUUUACGUAUACGGUACUAUUCACGUAUACAGUACUAUUCACAUAUACGAUACUGUUCACGUAUACAGUAGUUGGGAUUGAGGAGAAAAAUGGCAGCAGCAUCGUCAUCAGCAAGGACUACUGUGACAAAUGCAAAAUUUGAAGUAGAGAAAUUUGACGGUACCAAUAAUUUUGGUAUGUGGCAAUGUGAGAUCCUGGAUGUCUUAUGUCAGCAAGAGCUAGAUAUAGCCCUUGAAGAAAAACCUGACAAGAUGGAUGACAAGGAGUGGGCCAAGAUCAAUAGACAGGCGUGUGGUACAAUCCGCCUAUGUUUGGCCAAAGAGCAGAAAUACUCUGUCAUGAGGGAGACAUCAGCGAAGAAGUUAUGGGAUACACUGGAAGAAAAGUUUCUAACGAAAAGUCUUGAAAAUAGGCUUUAUAUGAAAAAGAAACUUUAUCGAUUCACGUAUGCACCCGGUAUGUCGAUGAAUGACCAUGUGAACUCAUUCAAUAAAAUUUUAGCAGACUUGCUAAAUUUGGAUGAGAAAUUUGAAGAUGAAGACAAGGCAUUAUUGUUGUUGAAUUCCCUUCCUGAUGAAUAUGAUCAUCUUACCACCACAUUGCUUCAUGGGAAGGACACGAUCACAUUUGAUGCAGUCUGUAGUGCGUUGUAUAGAUCUGAGACUCGAAAGAAAGAUAAAAGAGAUCACAGAGAUACAACCGCAGAAGUCUUAACAGUAAGAGGUCGUUCACACAGCAGCAAAUCUGGUAGAAGGGGAAAGUCCAAAGGGAGACCCGCCAAAGAUGAAUGUGCCUUUUGCCUUGAAAAAGGGCAUUGGAAAAAGAAUUGUCCUAAGCUACAAAAGGGCAAGGCUAUUUCUAAUGCAUGUGUAGCGGAGCAUGAUGAGGAGUCAGACUUUAGCUUGGUUGGCAUGGCAAUGGCAUGUCAAACGGAUGAGUGGAUUUUGGAUUCAGGAUGUACUUACCAUAUGUGUCCUAAUAAGGACUGGUUUUCUAGUCUUAAAGAGCUAGAAUGUGGAAUUGUUCUUAUGGGCAAUGAUAGUGCUUGUAAGACAAUGGGAGUGGGUACAGUCCAAUUGAAGAAUCACGACGGCUCAAUCCAAGUCUUGACAGAUGUUCGCUACGUACCUAGCCUGAAGAAAAAUCUCAUCUCAUUAGGUGCCCUAGAAUCUAAAGGGCUCACAAUCACUUUGAGAGAUGGAUUACUAAAAGUAGUAGUUGGGAAACUGACGGUGAUGAAAGGCAUAAGAAGAAAUAACUUGUAUUUUUUAAAUAGAAGUACAGUUAUUGGAUCAACAUCAACAGUUUCUACAAAAGAUGUAGAUUCAGAGGCUACCAGAUUAUGGCAUAUGCGAUUGGGACAUGCUGGUGAAAAAGCUUUGCAGACAUUGGCGAAGCAAGGCUUAUUGAAAGGUGCAAAUUCUUGCAAAAUGGAAUUCUGUGAACAUUGUGUUCUGGGCAAGCAGAAGAGGGUAAAAUUUGGUCCAGUAAUUCACAAUACGAAAGGAAUUCUGGACUACGUUCACAGUGAUGUGUGGGGACCUACCAAAGUAGCUUCUUUGGGAGGUAUGCACUAUUUUGUUACUUUUGUUGAUGAUUAUUCAAGAAAAGUAUGGGUGUAUCUAAUGAAAAGAAAAAGUGAAGUUUUGGAUGCAUUUCUGAAAUGGAAAAAGAUGGUGGAGACUCAGACUGGUCGAAAGGUCAAACGACUUCGAUCAGAUAAUGGUACUGAGUACAAAACGAUCCAUUUCUACAAGUAUGCCAAGAUGAGGGCAUUGUGCGACACUUCACUGUUCGGGAUACACCACAGCAAAAUGGGGUGGCAGAACGAAUAAAUCAAACUAUACUGGAGAAAGUUCGAUGUAUGUUGUCCAAUGCUGGAUUGGGCAAAGAAUUUUGGGCUGAGGCAGUUACAUAUGCGUGCCAUCUAAUUAACCGUUUGCCAUCAGCUGCAAUAAAUGGAAAAACUCCUAUGGAGAUGUGGACUGGUAAAUCUGCUACUGAUUAUGAUUCUUUGCAUGUAUUUGGUUCCACUGCAUAUUAUCAUGUAAAAGAAUCUAAGUUAGACCCAAGAGCAAAGAAAGCAUUAUUCUUGGGUAUAACUGAUGGAGUAAAAGGAUAUCGUCUCUGGUGUCCUGAUACAAGGAAGAUUUUUUUCAGUAGAGAUGUGACUUUUGAUGAAUCAACCAUGUUGAAGUACAAGGAUUCACAAAAGGAUGACAAAACCAGUAGUACUUUGCAGCAGGUGGAGCUUGAAAAGGUUAACGAUGAUCCAGCUAAUAUUGAAGGGACAAAUGAUGAAGAGGUUCCUACCCAAGAAACUCUACAGCAACAAGAUUCAAUUGCAUAUAGAAGGCCAAGAAGAGAGAUUCGUAAGCCUGCUCGCUUUGAUGAUAUAGUGGCCUAUGCACUUCCAAUUACAGAUGAUGAUGUUCCUUCUACUUACACAGAAGUAAUAAGUAACCCUGAUGGUGUAAAGUGGAAGCAAGCAAUGAAUGAAGAAAUGCAGUCUCUUCAUAAAAAUAAGACCUGGGAGUUGGUGACACUACCCAAGGGAAAGAAGGCAAUUGGAUGCAAAUGGGUAUAUGCAAAGAAGGAAGGAUUUCCUGAUAAAAAUGAAAUUCGAUACAAGGCUAGAUUAGUAGCAAAGGGUUACGCUCAGAAAGAAGGAAUAGACUACAAUGAAGUGUUUUCUCCAGUUGUGAAGCAUUCGUCUAUUCAGAUUUUGCUAGCCUUGGUUGCGCAAUAUGAUCUUGAACUAGUUCAGCUUGAUGUGAAGACCGCGUUUUUACAUGGUGAUUUGGAAGAGGAAAUCUAUAUGACUCAGACAGAUGGAUUCAAGGUUGUUGGAAAAGAAAAUUGGGUUUGCAAACUGACAAAGUCGCUUUAUGGAUUGAAGCAAUCUCCGAGGCAGUGGUACAAGCGAUUUGAUCAGUUCAUGAAAGGGCAAAGGUACACAAGAAGUAAAUUUGAUCAUUGCGUGUAUUUUCAGAAGCUACAAGAAGGAACUUUCAUAUACUUGCUCUUAUAUGUUGAUGAUAUGCUAAUAGCAUCUAAGAGCAAAGUUGAGAUUGAAAGAUUGAAGACUCAACUCAAUCUCGAGUUUGAGAUGAAAGAUCUAGGAGAAGCUAAAAAGAUUCUCGGCAUAGAAAUAUGGAGAGAUAGAGCUCAUGAUAGAGUUAGCUUGUCUCAGAAGCAGUAUUUGAAAAAGGUACUACAGUAGUUUGGCAUGAACGAGCAAACAAAACCUGUAAGUACCCCGUUGGCUUCUCAUUUCAAGCUUUCUGCACAACUAUCUCCUUCGACGAAUACGGAACGAGAAUACAUGUUGCAAGUUCCGUAUUCUAAUGCAGUGGGUAGCUUGAUGUAUGCAAUGGUGUGUACAAGACCCGACAUUUCACAGGCAGUUAGUAUAGUGAGUAGGUAUAUGCAUAAUCCUGGAAAAGGACAUUGGCAAGCUGUGAAAUGGAUUCUACGGUAUAUUCAGAAGACCGUGGAUGUUGGAUUACUGUUCAAGCAGGAUAAUACACUUGGUAAAGGUGUUAUUGGGUACGCUGAUUCUGACUAUGCCGGUGAUUUAGACAAGCAAAGAUCAACCACCGGUUAUAUGUUUACACUUGCUGGAGGACCAAUAAGUUAGAAGUCUACACUACAGUCUACAGUUGCAUUGUCAACCACAGAAGCCGAGUACAUGGCUGUAACAGAGGCUGUAAAGGAGGCUAUUUGGUUACAAGGUAUGGCUAAAACCUUGGGGUUGGUUCAGGAGCAUAUUAACGUGUAUUGUGAUAGUCAAAGUGCUAUUCAUUUAGCAAAGAAUCAAGUCUAUCAUGCACGUACAAAACAUAUCGACGUACGAUUCCAUUUUGUGCGGGAAAUUAUUGAAGAGGGGAAAAUUUGUCUUCAGAAGAUCGAGACUGCAGAUAAUCCCGCAGAUAUGAUGACCAAGGUGGUAACAAGCAACCAAUUUCGAACAUUGUUUGAACUUGAUUAAUAUCCUGCAAGUUUAACAGUUGAAGAAGGCACUAUCAAGUAUUGUUGUCAAAAGCAGAAAGAAUUGUGUGAAGAUAAGAUUAUCGUAAUCAAAUCUUCAAGGUGGAGAUUAUUGGAACCCACCAUUGUUUGAAAAGUCAAAUGGGGUGGGCACCGAAAGUAGAAAGUAAUAUUGGUUGGCAAGUUGGGUUAAAAGUUGGCAUGGGAUAAUUGCAAUUUUGGUCCUUAAUUGUAUAGGGACAUUGCAAGUUGAUCCUUGAACCUCAACUAUAAAUAGGCCUAACCAUUGCUUACUUUCUUUAUCCCAUAAUUGCCAUUCUCUACUUAAGGCAUUAUUCUCUCUCUCUCUAUUUGUAAAUUUCACUUGUAAUUUUUGGAGUGAAAUAUAUUUGGUAGUGCCCGAGGACGUAGGCAAAAUUUGCUGAACCUCGUUAAAAUUCUGGUGUUCUUUAUUAUUUGUUUUGCAUAUUUUGUGAAUGUGAUUGAAGUGAUUUAUUGUGCUAUUAAAUUACGAUAGAGGGAUAUUCUGGCUAGGAAAGACUUGGUAUUUAAGUGAUCUUCGUGAUCUACCUCUCUUUCCUAGGAAUUGAACUUAGUGUGAUUUUUUAGUACAAUAAUUUUACUCUUUCACACGCUUCCGCGCAACAAACACCCCACUCCAUCCCCCAAGCCUUUCUUCACUCUGAAUACAAUACAUAAAAUAAAAAUAAAGAGACGACUCCUCCAUCUGCAAGGAAAGGAUGUUGCCCCCUUUCAACCAACCGUUCUCAAACCAUGGUUCAUGCCACCAACCAAGCUCACUUACCACCAAUAAUGGCUCUAAUCCAACAAACAGAUCGUAUUUUGCAAAGGAAAAUGAUCUCUUCAGCAAUCCAGUCUUUUCCAUUAAGUAUUAAUUCAUUCCUAGCUAGCCACAAUGACCAUAACAUAGCGCCACAAGCAACAAGCCACUUCCUCUUAACAUUCGAUCUUCCAAACAUGCAGCAACGUACGCAAAAUCACUGACAUUCCAAGGAAUCACCCACAUAUAUAACACCCCACCAUUGAAAAAACAGUCCCUAAGCUUUCCAAGAGGAAGAAAGAAAGAAAAAAAUUAUCACAAUUCUCUUCAGCUUCAUUGCACCAAGAACAAUUAACACAACCAUUAACUGUGGGAAUACCUCGAUUCCUUAAAAAUGCAUUUUGAAGGUAUGCCAUUUUGGAAUAACAACCAUAGGAAGCAUUGCACCUUUGUUGGAACGCAUAGCUUCCAAAUGAAAGAAAACCACACCUUUUGAUGCGCCAAAGAACCUCACAAUCAAGAGAAAACACAACUUCCUUCACAGUACAUUUCCCUUUUCUGUCCACCUCCCACAUCAACUGAUCUGCCUUGUUCUCAUUUAAAGAGACCCCUUUGAAAAUCUACCACAACUCCAUUGCAGACACCCUCUCCUGUUCAAACAAAUCUCUUUUGAAAAAUCUUUCACCCUUGUGAAGUCCAUCCCAAGCCUCGUCCACCGUGAUAUUUUUCUUCAAAGCCAAGAAGAAAGUCUAGGGAAUCUGUCUUUCAAAGCACACAAUCCAAUCCAAUGAUUCAUCCAAAAUGAAACUGAUCUCCUACUGCCGACGCACCAUAUAAAGCUUCCUUCACCUAACAUUUUGUCCAUCCCUUCGUGUCUUCUAACUUCCACAACUCCUUUCCAAGCCUUCGACACUGUUGAGAAUUCACCACAUUAGGCCUCCAACGGUAGUUGCCAAUACCAUAUUUUUCGUCCCAAUUAUUGAUGUGGUGAUUGUCAAUUUAAUUCUUACACAUUAAAAGUACAUAAAAAUAUUUAAAAAAAUAAAAAAUAAAAAUUUUUCUUAUUUCCAAUAAAAAAUCGUAAAAGUUUACUAAAAAUUAUGAAAAAGCAUUAUUUAAAAUUCAAAAUUAAAUAAAAAAUUUAAAAAAUAUAUAAAUUAUUUCAAAAAUUCAAAAAAAAAAGAAAAUAGUAAUAAGGUCUAGACUUAUCCAUAAAUUGGUUUGGACAAAGGUUUUAUGUCUCGAGACCAAACCAAAAUAGAAUUUAAGUAAUCAAAAUAUUUUUAAAUUUAAAUUUGAUUAUAAAAAUUAAUAUAAAAUAUAUGUUUAAUAUUUUAUUAUUUUAAACAAUAAAACAAGUUUUUUAGACGAGCUAAACCUAAAAAAAGCUUAACUGCAAUUUGACCUGAUCAGGCCUAAUAAGAAGCUUCAAUCUUCUAUGGAUGACGACUCAACUAUUAGUAUUAUUGUAAAGGAUAUUAAGGGAAAAAGCAAUAGGUCCGAGAACUUAACUUUUCGAUUUGUACCGUGUCGAUUUAACAACUCUGCACAUGUGAUGUGCUCGUUAGUAUAGGCUAGUCAUAUUCUUGUUCCACGCACUAGAUGGAGGAAACUUUGGUGGCUGUCGAAAACGCUGCGUGUUAAUAUCUAUGGUGAGUUUUCAAUAAACUGAACAAGAACUAUACUGAAUAUGAAGAGAAUGUAUUAAACAAGAAAGAACUCUUUUGUAUUUAGACUAUUAGCUUGAUAUGUACAUUGUAAUCAUGGUAUUUAUAGAACAUAUGAUUAGCUGUUACUACUUAACAACUUAACUAUUUUGAAUAACAAACUAACAGCUAGGCUAGAUGAAUAACACUCUUAACAUUCACCUAUCUUCCCGACAGGUAAAACCCGAAGAAGAUCUCAAAAUCUAGCAAAAGACGAUAUAAAGAGUGGCUUGGUAAGAAUAUCAGCAACCUGUUCACAGGCAGGAACGUCACCAACAAUAAUAGAUCCAUCUGCUACCUUCUCACGAACGAAAAAUAGAUCGAGCUCAAUAUGUUUGAAUUUCAAAUGUAAGACAGGGUUAUCAGCUAGAGCAACAACAUUAGAAUUGUCACGCCAAAUGGUUGGAGGAUCAAUAUUGUGAAGAUGUAACUCUUUUAGUAACGAAACUAACCAAGUAACAUCACUGGUAGCUGCAGUAAGACUCCGAUAUUCAGCGUCAGCCGUAGACCAUGAAACUACCUGUUAUUUCUUGAAACACCAUGAGAUAGGUGUGUAACCAAAAUACACACAAUAUUCCAUUGUAGAGCGUCGAUCAUCAAAAUCGAGCCCCUAGUUAGCAUCUGCAUAGCAAACUAACGAAAGCCGACAUGACGAAGGAAAAACAAUCCUAUAGUCAAGCGUACCACAUAAAUAUCACAGGAUUCGUUUUGAAGCAACCAUAUGAAUAGUAGCAGGCGCAUGCAUGAACUGGCAAACACGAUUCACAGCAUUAGCAAUAUCAGGACGAGUCAAGACCACAUACUGUAAAGCACCUGCAAGACUUUUGUACUCAGUAGGGUUAUCAAGACAAUCUCCGUCAUUCUUGGACAAAGUAGACGAGCUAAUCAUUGGAGUAUGAACACUUUUUGCAUGAGUCAUAAAACUUCUAUCAAGUAAAUCGUGAAUGUACUUCCUCUGAGAAAGAUGAAGACACCCUGUGGAGGAACGAGUGACUUCAAUCCCUAAAAAAUAGUGUAGAUCUCCCAUAUCUUUAAGUGAGAAUUUGUCAUUCAAUCAGACAUACUGCCAGUAAUUAUAAUGUCAUCCACGUAGACAAGCACAUAAAGGAUGGAGUUAGUCGUGACUUCAACAAGCAAAGAUGCAUCAGAUUUGGACAUAGUAAAGCCAACAGAAAGAAGAUAACACUUCAGUUUAUCAAACCAAGCACACGGAGCUUGACGAAGCCCAUAUAAAACUUUCUUCAGACGACAGACUAAAGGCUUGCUAGUUGAGCCAUAUUGAACAUACCCUAGAGGUUGUUGCAUGAAUACCUCGUUAACAAGAUCGCCAUUCAAAAAUGCAUUAUUCACAUCUACCUGACGAAGUUCCCAUCCUCUAGAAACAACAACAUAUAAAAUGACACGAGUAGUAGCAAGUUUUAUCACGGACUGAACGUUUCUUUGAAAUCAUACCCAGGCACUUGAGAACACCCUUUAGCUACUAAGCGAGCCUUUCGACGGGCAAUUGUACCAUAAUGAUUUUUCUUAACUUUGAAAAACCAUUUACAUCCAAUUGCCUUACGAUUAGAUGGUAAUUGAACAAGAUUGCAGGUGGAAUUAGUGAUGAGAGCAUCAUAUUCAACCUAAGCCGCAGCUCGCCAUUCUAUGGUAAAAAGGCUUCUUCAAUCAUGAGGUGCAAGAACUUCAACUAACAAUGCCUUAGCUUAAAAAUGUCAGCCUUAGACCGAGUGACCAUCGGAUGAGUAUUUGCUGGAGGCAAAGAUGAUGACGACGGAGAGAAAGAAGUAUCAGCAAUAGGUACAACAACAGACAGAGUAUCAACAUUAUUGUGUAAAGAAUGUGGCUUAUCUACCUCAGGCUGAGGAUUGGUAGAGAUAGAUGGCGAAGGGAAAAAACCAAUAGGUGAAGAUGAUACACGUGGUAGAACAGAUGAAGACUCCAGAUGCUAAGAAGGAACAACUCGUACAAUUGGAACAAACGUUGACUCAGUACCAGACGAAGCCAUGAAAUCCCUUAUAGCAGGUAAAGGAGCCAAGAACCUUUGUUCAUCAAACACAACAUGACGAGAAAUAACAAUCGUACCAUCCGGCAUAAGACAUUGAUAACCUUUGUGUUGGGGCCUAUAUCCCAAGAAUGUACAGGGUUGAGAACGAAAAUCCAACUUAUGAGACAAAAAUGGUCGUAAGUACAGAAAACAACAACACCCAAAUACUGUUGAUGAUCACACGUGGGAUCUUGUCCAUGAAGAGCCUUAUAAGGAGUCUGGCCAUACAGAACUGAGGUAGGGAGACAAUUGAUGAGAUGAACAGCACAACAAAAUGCAUAACCCUAAUAUUUCAUAGAAAGAUUCGCUUGAGCCAAAAGUGUAAUACCCAUUUCAACAAUAUGCCGAUGUUUGCGUUCAGCCACCUCAUUCUGUUCAGAACUAUGUGGACAAGACAACCGAUGAACUAUCCCUUGAGUUGUUAGAAUAGACGUGAAAGUGCGAAAUUCGCCACCCCAAUCACUCUGAAAUUGUUUGGUAUUUUUCCCGUAUUGAGUUUUGACAAGCUGCUGAAACUAAGCAAAACAAUCGACUACUUGAGACUUUUGGCGAAUAAGAUAAAUCCACGUAAAUCGAGUGCACAUCUCAACAAAGGACACAUAACACCAAUUAUGACCACAUGCAACUGAUGCAGGCCCCAUAGAUUAGAGACAACCAAAGCAAACGGUUCACUAUAGCUUCAUCCAGACUGAGAGGCUGACCGGGUUUCAAAACAGGAACAGCUGUUCCGUGUCCACUAAAGUAGAAGAACAGGACAUCUCCUGGUCUAGCAGUGUGCACCAUUUCAUAAAGUGCAGCCUUAAUUUUUAUACCCGUAGGCAUAGCCCAUGAGCCUGGUAUAUAAUUAUCAGUCAGCACCUUAAUAAACUGUCAAUCAAGGUUAAACCUUUUCAUAAUCAACCUUCUUAUGUUCUCCACAUCAUUUAUGCAUCCUUUCAGGUUGUAAGGGGUCUUUGGGUAAUUACAACCCACAAGAACAGCUUUCUUUUUAUGCACCAGCUUGUUAAUCAUGGGUAAGGCUAAGGGUGUUGGAAUGGUGGCCAAGAAAGCUGUACCAGCAUUCUUAUCACUGCAAUAAAGGCAUAAGGGUGUUGCUCGUGAAAUCCAAGGCUGGUUAUUUCAUCCCUAGCAUUCAUCACAAGCUGUUUAUUGGUUAAUGUACCAUUGGUCUCGUUGAUAAUCUUUUGAAGUGAAUAUAUAAAGGCCCCAUACGCCUUUCCUUGGGUUUUGUCACUCGGUUCCAAAUCAAGGGAUAGCUCAUCGGCUUGGCACCCACUUACUAGAAUCCCCUCAUCCUCCGUUAAUGACCUUGGCUCCUGAGAGGGUCGGAAUUUUAAACUGACGCUGUCUCGAAAGAUUCCGGUCAAAAGAUGGCCAAUGUUGCUGACAAUAUAUAAUCCAGUGCUGAAGGCAACUGUUGUGCCCAAUACGUCUGAUGCGGCGUUUAUGACGUUGGCUGCUGGGCGUCAACAGAUGGCCUUGGUGUAUUGAUUCAAGUGAAAUUCCCCUCUUCUGGGCGUCAACAGAUGGUGCUAUACUCCUUAGAGUACUAUGGGGUCCAAUUUGUUCUUUCUCUUUGACAAUGAGACCACCGCUGUGGCACGAAUCUGAAACGAUUCUGAAGCUUGUUUCUUUUGGCAGCUGCUCAAUCAAGUGCCUGAUGUCCACGUCUGCACAGCCAUGUAUAUUUAUAAAAAAAUGAUAUGAUUAAUAAAGGAAAAUAUGUAGUUGACGAGUUGUGAUCCCAUUUUGGAAUCAUGAUCAACAUUAAUAUUUAAAAAAAACUAAUUAUUAUUUUUUAAGAUUUAAAGUUAGAUUUAUAUUUUGACAUUUAAGGUUGAAUUUUUGAUUUGUUGAAUUUGAGUUUCGGAAAUUAUGAAAUUGUGGGUUCAAACCCUACUAUGUGUACUAUAUUUCUAUUUUUUUAUUCAUAAAAAGAAUAAAAAUGACAAAAAAUUUCUUUAAAUUAAUAUAAUUUACUUUAUAAAAUAAAAUUAUUGUGCAAAUUCCACUAUAAGACACCAUUAAUUAGGAAGAAUAAAAAACCUACCAUAAAUGAGAUUGAGAUCACAAGGCACGAUCGCAUCAUCCUUGCGGCCUGGUUUCAUGUCUGCCUCAACUCCAUGUCCACUGAAGUGGAAUAAUAGGACAUCUCCUUCUUUAGCCUCUUUCACCAUUUUUGCAAGACCAGCCAUAAUGUUUGCACGUGUAGGCAUUUUUGGGGACCCUGGUUCAUCAGUUAUGAGCUCAACAUGUUGAGGAUCAAAGUUAAACCUUUUCAAAAUCACGUCUCUCAUGGCAUGCACAUCAUUUAUGCAUCCUUUCAACUCGUAAGGGGUGUUGGGGUAGUUGCAUCCCACCAGAAGAGCUGUCUUCAUUCUGUCUUUGAGUUUGCUUGUCUUCUGAUUCGGAUGUUGCAGGAAGAACCCAUAUAUAUACACACACAAACUAGUUUACGUUAUACCAUGCAAUGUCAUAAACUCAUAAGCUCACGACAAGUUGGCACCUACAAUAUUUUUAUUUCAAAAUUUAUGGUUGUUAUUUUUUUAGUUAAAUUUAAUCAUUAAUCUUUUAAAUUAUUUUUUUAACAGAAAUGUUUGAUUAGAAUAUUAAUUUUUUUAAUGAUGUUGGCAUGAAAAUUCGUGUGGUAGUCCACAUGUACUUCAUGCUGACAUAAUAUUAUUCGUCAUACAUGCCGCAACAAUAAAUAAUUUAAAAUUUAUUUAAAAAAAUAUUAAAAAAUGUUUAUAUAAAUUUUAAAAAAUAGCAUGAAGUACACAUAGAUUACCAUGCGGGUUGCCAUGUUUAAAUAUAAUGUUUUAGUUAGUAUUUUUAUUAAAAACAUCAAUUCGACUGUUUUUUAAUGAACUUGUCCAUGGGCUGGGGCUUGACAAAAUUUUAGGCCCAUUUGAUAAGUUCAGUCUUAACCCGGCUCGAAAAAUUGGCUUAAAAUUUUAUUCAAGCUCGACCUAAAUAAAAAUGCUAAAACCCGAGCCUGGCUCGGCCUGCCCGUAUUAAAAUUUUUACAUUAUUUUUUAAAAAAAUAUAUAAAACACUAAAAACAUUCAAAUAAAUGUUUCCCAACAACUUGAAAAUAAAAUUUAAAAAAUAUUUAUACUUAAAUAACACUAACAUAGGUGCAACUUACAAAGUAAAUGCCACUAAAAUAAUAACAAAAUUAACAAUAAAAUAAGACUUAUAUAAUAUCCAAACAAUAAUAGCAAAAAAGUAGUCACAUAAUAGUGAAAUGGUAGGAAAACAGUAAGAAAACAACAUAUAUUUUUUUUCUUUUUGUAAAUUCGGGUCGGGAUGGGAAAAAAACACCUUACUUGAGGCCCUUAUCCAAGCCCAUCUUUCGGGUCUAUAUUUUUGUACAAGCCCUCCCACUUUUUGGGAGUCCGGCCUGAUCUAUGAACAUGUCUACUUUUAAAAGGUUGAUAGUUAAAUUUGAUUUUUUUAAAAGAUUAAAAGACCAAACUUAACUAAAAAGGACCAAAUUAAUAAACGAUAUAAUAAUUGCCUAUUUUUAUUUGUUUCUUUUGGUGUCAUGGAUAGAGCAAAUCAAGUGCACCAUUCAAAAAAUUGGGUUUAUAUGUACUAUUAGUUAAUUAGUUGACUAACUUCAAUAAAAAAUAAAAUUAAUUGGUCCAUAAAAAAAAUGUAUUUUUUACAAUUAGAAGUUACAAUAUUAACGAAACAUUAAUACAUUCAUGCUUUACUCAAUAAUUAAUUAAAAUAUUAAAUUAAUAAUCAAAAUAUAUCUAAAUUCGUAAUACAAUGUUUCAUACAAUAAUUACUCAAUCACUAUAUUGCAUUGUUUAAUUGUCGAAACAAGUUAUAACUUCCAUUGUAACAACUCAAAAGAAUAAUUACAAACCAAUGUAUUUUUAGACUUAAAUGUAGAACUAAAGCUUAGUUUGGAUGGACGGUGCGUUUACCUAUGAUUAGUGUAAAAAUAACGGUGGUGGUGAGAUUAGAUAUUGUAACGACACUGUAAUUUGAGACUUGGAUGGACGGUGCGUUUACCUAUGAUUAGUGUAAAAAUAACGGUGGUGGUGAGAUUAGAUAUUGUAACGACACUGUAAUUUGAGACAAAGAUAAAUUAAACGCACUGUACUAUACCAAACCAUCCAUCUAAACCUCACCUAAAAGUUGCUAAAGUUUCCUUCCUACCAUUAAACCAAUGUAUCAUCAACUAUUUGUACUUAUUUUUAAACACUUUUUAUUGGAGUUGCAUGAAAUGCUUGAUUGACUACGUGUAAAUUUAUACACAAAAAACCAAUAAUUUGAAAAGCUUUCCAUAGUACAAUUUUGAUAUAUUUGGCAUUUAAUAAGAAAUCAACAUAUGGAGUGGGUGAUGAAUCCGAAUUGGGGUGAGGACAGGUGUUGUGAUGGACAAAGCGUAAGACAAGGUGGUUCCCGACAGAAGCAAGAAAGCUCUGACAAAAGACCGCUAGGUAUUCCUUUUUCAGACAAAGAAGACAAAAGAUAGAACAUAUAGGGUGGUGGUCGAAGAUAAAUGAUUAUAACAGCACUGAUAUGAUCUGCUUCGCCUUCGUCCACCACCUCAUCUUUAUGUUUUUAUCUUGGUCGUGACUCACGUUGGCCUUCGUCUGCAAGUGCUGUCUAUCGUGAUUGUGUUGCCUAGCUUCUGAGUUCUAUGUAUUAAGGUCUAUUUGAAUGUGCGGUUUGCAGAGGUAAAAUUAGAAAAUUGUUUUUAAGUGUUAAAGUUAAAUUAUGUACCUAUAUGGAUUUGAUGGUAUAUAUUCCUCCUCCAGUGGAUCCAGCACCAUUAACCCAUCUACGUAGUGAGGAUAUGGAAUUUGAGACUCACAUCUUUAUAUAUACACACUAAUUUACAGCAAGUGUACUGACCAUAAGGACGACGACAUGUAGGUAGGUAGGUAGGUAGGCAGAUACAAACACUUUUGUUUGUCUUUUGUGUUUUGGAAAAUGCAUGCGGAAUCCAUGCAUAUGCAAACAUUUUGUGCAAGGAAUUUGCACAUCAGUACUGCAUAAAAGAGUGACUCUGGAGUUAUGGAAUUAUUUGAUAAUAUUGAAUACGAAAUAAAUUUAAAAUAAAAGAGUGGGUGAUUAAUCCGAAUCGGGGUGAGGACAGGUGUUGUGAUGGACAAAGCGUAAGACAAGGUGGUUCUCGACAGAAGCAAGAAAGCUCUGACAAAAGACAGCUAGGUAUUCCUUUUGCAGACAAAUUAAGAAGACAAAAGAUAGAAAAUAUAGGGUGGUGGUCGAAGAUAAAUGAUUAUAACAGCACUGAUAUGAUCUGCUACGCUUCGUCCACCACCUCAUCUUUAUGUUUAUAUCUUGGUCGUGACUCACGUUGGCCUUCGUCUGCAAGUGCUGUCGGUCCUACCAUUGUUCUUGUGUUGCCUAGCUUCUGAUUUCUAUGUAUUAGGGCACAUUUGAAUCGGGUUGAAGUUAGAAAAAUAUUUUUAAGGAUUGAAGUUAAAUUAUAAAUUUUUAUAAGAGUUAAAAUUUAAUUUUAUAAUUAUAUUAAUUUAUAUUUUUAUAAUUUUUAGAGGUCUUAAAUCAAAAUUUUAUUAUUAUUUUGGAUAAAUUGUGAUUUUACAAUAUUUAACUUAUAAUUUUAUAAAAUUUAGAAAGGCCUAAAUUAUAAUUUUCCAUUUUAGGGGUUCAAAAAGUAAUUUUCAUUUUAAAGGGGCCAUUUCCCCUUGCCUGCUCCGGUCACUGCCUUUACGAUGAGAUUUUUAACAGUCCGAUUUUGAGUCAAAUUAGAACAGCAGUUUUGAGACCACAAAUCUGACGAGAAAAAAUUAAUUUUAAAAUACAACAUGAGUUGCAUUAUGAUAGGAAAGUUGCAUGAAAAUAUUGAUAUAAAAAUUUUAUCGAUUUAGUGAUUAAUUAAGAAAAGGACCUAUUGUGUGUAGUCUGCUACCCUGGCACGUUUCUGUCUGCCGCAUUUGGCAUGAUAUUUUUAGGUUUUUCGUAGAUUGCUUUUGUUCUUUUUUCUUGAAAUCGACUUGAACACAAUUUUGCUCAGACGAUAGGGAGGAAGGGAGAGUUUUUCUGAACAUCAAUUCCUGCAAUCAUGGAAACAGAAUUAGUACAAUUGUCGCUCAAUGAAGAAGAGGAAAUUUUACAGAUCCAGACUGAUCCAUGCAUGCAAAAAGAACGUGAAGAUUUUCAGCUUGUAGGUUGUUUUUUAACAGCAAGCAUAAUACACUUUGCAGCUAUGAGAAGCACCAUGGCAAAUUUGUGGCACCCUGUCUGUGGAGUACAAAUUCGAGAUCUGGGAGAAAAAAGGUACCUUUUUAAAUUUUUUCGCAGUAUGAAUUUGGUAAAAGUUCUGAAGGGUUUACCGUGGACUUUUAAUAAUCAUUUAUUAAUACUCUGCAAACUGAGAAGGGGAGAAACUUGGCGAGUUAGCUGAAGCAACCAGAAAUGAAGAGACAGAUGAAUUGAUUGAUACAAAAAUAAACUUGAAUUUUGAUAUUGAGAAGGACGAAUGCUAUUGGGAACAGAGAGCUAGAUUUAACUGGUUGAAAUUAGAGGACAAAAAUACUGCUUUCUUUCAUAGCCAAGCUUCACAACGGAGAAAAAAGAAUCUCAUUCAUACGCUGAAAGAUGAAGAGGGUAGAGAAAUGGAGCUCAUUCAAGACAUUGAGGGUGUGGCUAAGUCUUUAUUUUCAGAAUUUAUUUUCGGCAAGAGAAAAUGGGAAUUAUGAUCAUAUUCUAUCAGGGAUAGAACGCUGCAUUCAUGCGGAUGACAACCGAAAUCUUACAGAACCAUAUUCCAGAGAGGAAAUUAGAGAAGCUGUUUUUGAAAUGGGACCUACAAAAGCUCCAGUGGAGGAUGGAUUUCCAGCAUUAUUCUAUCAGAAGUGCUGGCAGAUUGUUGGGGAUGACGUCCUAGCUUUUGUCUACAAAUUUUAAACGGAAAUAUGUAGGUUAUUCCAAUAAAUUCCACAAAUAUAGUGCUUAUUCCAAAAGUCAGCAAUCCAUCAACUAUGAUGCAAUUUAGGCCAAUUAGUCUAUGCAAUUUACUUUACAAAAUUAUUGCGAAGGUACUUGCAAACAGAUUUCGAAGUGUUAUUGGCAAAUGUAUUGAUGAAGCGCAAAGUGCUUUUGUGCCAGGCAGGUUAAUAUCAGAUAAUGUAUUACUCACUUACGAAAGAUUGCACAAGUUAAAUCAAAAGAGAACGGAAAAAAAGAUUUAUGACCGUUAAACUCGAUGAGUAACGCUUAUGACAGGAUAGAAUGAAUACUUAUAGAGGAGUUCAUGAAAAAGAUGGGGUUUGAUUUUAGUUGGGUAAAUGCCAUUAUGAAAUGUGUCACUGUUGCUUAUUCAGUUGUCAUAAAUGGGUACAGAGGAGAUAAAUUUGUACCAACCAGAGGACUUAGACAAGGGUGUACCCAUUAAGCCCGUUUCUAUUCCUGAUAUGUGGUGAAGGAUUAUCGAGCUUGCUGAGGUUAGCAAUGAAGAGAGAUCGUCUCAAAGGAGUACGGGUGAGUAGAUACGGUCCACAGGUAUCUCAUCUUUUAUUUGCUGAUGACUGCAUACUGUUUGGAGAGGCAACUAGGAGGGGUGCAAACAUCAUAAAGGAUAUUUUGUGUGAAUUCAAAGUUUGCUCGGGACAAUGUGUAAAUUUUGAUAAAUCAACGGUAUUCUUUAGUAAAAACACGUUGGAGGAGGAUAGGAGACAAGUGGUUGAUGUGUUGGGGGUACGUAGGACAAGAAAACCUGAACGAUAUCUAGGGCUACCGAAUAUGGUGGGGCGAAAGAAAAAAGAAGCUUUUCAGAGUUUAAAGGAUCGAAUCAAAACACAUAUUGAUAACUGGAGCAACAGAUUUUUAUCACGAGGGAAAGAAAUUUUUAUAAAGGCCAUUUUGCAAGCUAUUCCGACUUAUUCUAUGGCAUGUUUCUUACUGCCGAGAGCUCUUUGUGAUGAAAUGGAGAGUAUUAUAGCAAGAUUCUGGUGGCAAAAAGGAGGGGGCAAAAGGGGAAUUCAUUGGUGCACUUGGAAAAACCUUUGUUCGUUAAAAGAAAAUGGUGGUCUAGGCUUUCGAGAUCUUAGUCAAUUUAAUAUUGCGUUAUUAGCUAAACAAGGUUGGCGUCUCAUUAAUUUCCCAAAUUCUUUAUUAGCCAGAGUUUUGAAAGCUAAAUAUUUUCCACAGUCCAGUUUUUUAAACGCAGAGUUGGGGAAUUUACCUUCAUUUACCUGGAAGAGCAUCUGGGCGGCAAAAGGACUUCUUCAAAGAGGAUUGGGUUGGAGAGUUGGUAAAGGGAGUUGCAUUUCUAUCUGGGAAGACAACUGGAUUCAGGGGAUUGACAAGGUGGCUGAGCUUAAUAGCACAAACAGAAGAGAAUUACAGUUAGUUUCAGACCUCAUUCAAUUCAAGUAGAAAAUGGAAGUCAGACUUAAUUAAAAGUACCUUUCAAGAAGAUACUGCUCGGAAGAUUCUACAAAUUCCUCUGGCAGAGACCGAACAUGAGGAUAUUCAGGUGUGGAGUGGAGAACUAUCUGGUGAGUUUUCAGUACGUAGUGCGUAUAAACUACUACAAGAUGCUUCUACAGCUAAUGACUACUUAUUACAGACCGAAACAAGAAAUUUUUACAAAAAAUUAUGGAGCCUACAAUUGCCUUCAAAAAUUGCAAUUACAAUCUGGAGGAUUUCAUGGGAUAAUAUCCCUCACUUUGGUAAUCUCAGCUUGAGGAGGGUUAGUUCAACUGCCCGCUGUCCACGAUGUUAUUUUGGAGUAGAAGAGAGUCUUCAUGUUUUCCGAGAGUGUCCUUAUACAAGAGAAGUGUGGCAAGCAUUAAACUUAGCAUGGGUCAUGGAGAAUACGAGUCAAAAUACAUGGGAGUGGCUAACUUGGGUUUUCAAGAACAGCAACAAUUACCAGUGUCGGCUUUUCUGCUAUGCGUUAUGGUUGAUAUGGUCCUUUAGAAACAAACUCAUUCACGAGGGCAAAAAUUCAACAGGAAGGGGAUUAGCUCAGAAUAUUCAAAGACAUAUGGUAGAAUAUGAGGGAAUAAAUGCUGAGAAGAAAACUGAGAAAAAAAUUUUCAAGAGUCACAGUAUACAGGAAAACGUACCGAGAAUAUCGAUCAAAUUUGAUGCAGCACUGGAUAGUAGAACCUUCAAAUCAGCGACAGGACUAGUUGGUUGGGAUAUGAGGGGAAAUCUACUGGUGAUAAAAACGGUUAUCCACAGAAAUGUUCCCUCAUCAUUCGCUCAUCAUUCGCAGCAGAGGCAUAUGCAUGUUUAGAAGGCAUGAAAUUAGGGAUUGCUUUAGGAUCUCAGUCAAUUAGAAUUAUGGGAGACUCAAAAACCUUCAUAAAGAAGAGCAAGGCGAUGUCAACAGAUAAAUCGGUAAUAGGUGCAUUAUUAAAGAUAUUCAGAACAAGAAAUCCUUUUUUCAAGAUCUUACUUUAAAGCACAUACAUAGAUCAGAGAAUACACAUGCACAUGGUCUAGCAAAGAGAGCUCUCGCGAAAGAAGAAAACAUUUACCUGAUAGGAGAAGAACUGGACCGCCACAUUUCAACCUUGGAUGAAGAUUGGCAAAGAAAUCCGGAUUGAAGAAAUGGGUGAAGGAGCAGCAUCCAAACAGAUAGCUUAAUGAAGUUUAAAUCUAUGGGGAAGAGCUAUCGACAUAACAGAUGGGACCUUGGAAAUGACUCUUCAAUAGCCUUUAUGGUUUCCAGCUGUUUCUGAUUAAUGACUGGGAGAGGUUUCAUUCGGUAGAUUUUAAUUUCAAUUAAUGCUUUUGUCUUUUUCCUUUUAAUUUUCUAGCUUUUGGAUUGACGUUUCUUGGGGGGUGUAAUUUUAUAUUUGUUUAGGUUGAAAAUUAGAUUGGUUCUUUUCUGUUUGGUGCUUUGACUUAGGCCUUUGAUUUGGGCUGAUUGGAUUAUUAUUAUUAUUUUUUCUUUCAUAAUAAAUACCCAGCCAUUCUAUCAAAAAAAAAAAAAAAAAGGAAAUGACCUAUUUGUAUAAAAUGUAGAAUUUGAAUUCUAGAAGCUAGAAGGGUUAACUAGCUAUGAAAUUAUAGUACCCCGAAAAUUACUAUAGUAAGAAAGUAAUAUAAUAUCUCUGAUAUGGUAAAAUAAGGAAAUAAAGUGAUAAAAAGGGAAAUUGAGUUAUGUCAAUAAUGAAAGGUAUACUAUGACAUAUUAAUUCAAGAAAGGAUUAAAUCGUAAAAGUGAGAAAAGUUUUAUUGCUCAAGAGUAAAUACUCAAAAAUUGAGGGGUUAAAGUGUAAAUAUGAAAAAUUUGAAGGACCAAUAAUGUAAAUAUUUUAAGGGUGGAAUAAUCUAGAAACUAAGGAAAAUGGAUUAAUUAGGACCAAAUUGAAAAGGUAGAGAAUUUUGAGGGACUAAAUUGCAAUUUUACCAAAUCAAGUGAUGACUCAAGGAUGAAAUUUCAAAAGAUUAUAAAGGGCAAAAUGGUCAAUUAGAAGGAGAGAGAAUUCUAGAAGGUAAUGAUAUGUUUGUGAUAUUUUUAAUUAAUUAAUUAGAUAAAUGUUAUUUAAUGAAUAUUUUAUUAAGAGUUUUAGUAUUAUUUUAUUAUUAAAUGAUUAAUAUAAAAGGGAGGAAAGAUGAUGAGAAUGGAUCAUCUUUUUCAUGCAUCUCACGUUGAAGAGAAGGGAAAAAAAAGAAAGUUUUACUUUCUUUAUAAUUUGGUCUUUUUACCAAAAAUUCACCAUUUUCACUUAGAAAUCAAAAGAAUUUCUAUAUCCAUCAAGAGAGAAAGAUAACAAGGAGACUAUGGGGAGCUAGAAUAUCAAGUUAGAUUCAAGAAAUAGAAGCUGGAGGAGGGAGAAAAUCAAGUUAAAGAUUGAAAUCAAUGGCAUAAGUUAAGAACAUCAAUAUUUUUAUAUACUUUUGAGUUUGAUAUUAUUGAAAAAGUAGGAAAUUAAUGUUAAGAUAGAGUUUCAUUAUAUAAGGUUCUAUAUUCUUGUUAUGUUAGUAAAGGGAAAUAAGAGAAAGUGAUGGAAAAUAUUGAAGAGAAAGGAAAGGAAAGUGUUAUAAAUUUAGUUAUCAACAUUUUACACUAAAAUAGUUUUGAGACAGCAGCAGUAGUCUGAAUUUGAAAAUCUACCAAAAAUCGUAUAAAUUGAAUUAGAAGAUGAAAAAAAUAUUAAAUUAAAUCAUAUUGAGUCUAGUUUCUCAUAGAAGAAACGGUGUAAGCAAAGGAAUUGUAAAUUAUGAGAUACAAUAGGUUUUGUGAGAUAAGGUCAGAAUGAUUUCAGGUUCCCCUGUACUGACUUUUGAAAAUCAUAAAAAAUUGGAUAAAAAUAAUUAGAGGCUUAAAUUUAUAUGUUUAAAUCCUUAAUGAGUCUAUUUUCAAUAGAAACAAACGGUAACAUCAUUCAAAUUCUGUAUGAGGAGGUAAUUAAUUUUUAGUGAAGAAGGGUCGGAACUGUCAGACAGCAGAAUAGGGAUGAAUUUAAAGAAUAAACUGUGCUUAUUGGCUAAACCAAAAAUUCAGAAAAUUUUAUGGUAAGAAUAAAUGUGAGUCUAGUUUCAGAUAAAAUUUACGGAUCUUAAUUUGGAGUUCUGUAUCUCAAGAUAUAAAUAAUUUAGUGACUAUGACUCAAGUGAACAGCUUUGAAUGAAUAUAUAUAAGUAAAUGGUGAAAUUAUAGAUAAUGUUACCUAUAAGCAUGUUAUAUACAUUAAGGAUGUGGAAUGGAGAGGAGGAGGAGGAAAAUAUAUGAUUAUUUAACUAGCAUGAUUUUUCAUUAAAAAUGACCAAUUUACAUGUUUUAGGUUUAGGGACUAAAUUGAACAAAUGUGAAACUUUUAGGGUAAAUUUGUAAAAAUGUCAAAAAGUGACCAAAUUGCAUGAAAUGAAUUUUUUUAUUAUUUAAAUUAGUAAAUUGAAUGAAAUAUUAAUUUAGAUCAUGAUUGGGUUGAAAUUCGAGAAAAAAUAGAAAUUUUUCAAAAUGUCAUUGAAUUUUGGUAUUUUUGCAAUUUAGCCUGUUAAGUUCGUAUGAACUAUAUUUUGUAUAAUUUUAAUUGAAGUGAAUGUUAUUUAGUAAUGAAUAUUAUAUAUAUGUGUGUUUUAUUAUUGGAAUUGAAUUAUUAUUGGUAAUAUGUAUUGGUAGAUUAAAAAGUGGAAAGUGAAUUUGAAUUGAAAUGUGAUUAUUGAAUAUAAAUUGAAAUGGUUUGAAUUGAAUUAUUGAAUUAAACUGGAAUAUUGAAAUUGGUGAUGGAUAUGGAUUUUAUUGGAAUUGAAAUUGAGAAAGUGGAAAUUGAUAUGUGAGACUGAUACUGAACUGAAUUAUGGAAAACUGAAUACUGUUAUGUGUACUGCAUUGAACUGUGAAAAUACUGAAGUAACGAAUUACUGCAAUACUGUGAAACUGAUUGAAAUAAGAAAUUUGUAAUUGAUACUAAACUAAGAUGGAAAUUGUACUGAAAGGUAAAUUAAAUACCCUAUUAACUAGUCAGGCUAGUCGGAUAUAGUUGGCAUGCCAUAAGAUAUGGAAGAGUACGGGGUAUUUGCCGGCUUACUGAUCAGGCACUUAUGUGCCGACUACUGUUACUGUUACUGAAUCGGCACUUUUUGUGUCGAAUACUGUUACUGUUACUGUUACCGAUUCGGCACUUUGUGUGUCAAAUACUGUUACCGUUACUGUUACAGAUUCAACACUUUGUGUGUUGAAUACUAUUAUUGUUACUUCUACUGUUACCGUUACUGAUUACUGUUUACUGGUGUGUUUGGUUGGAAUCCGUGUAUCCGUCGAGUCCGAGUCAAGUUUGUUGACACCAUUUUUUUUUAUUGAAAACGGGGUCGACUUGGGUUUUGAAAAUGAAACGGGAGUCGCCACCAAUCCUUUUUUUAUGAGGUGUGAUUGGGUCACCUUGAAAAAUGGUUGUUUUUAAUAAAUGUUUUGAUUUUAUUAAAACAAUGGUUUUGAUCCACGAAAUUUAGAAAACGGGUUCGGGAGUCGGUUACGUACGAGGAAGGAUUAGCACCCUCGUAACGCCCAGAAAUUGGUACCUAGUUGAUUAACUAAUGUCUUGAUGUCGAAAAUUAAAAACUUGGAAAAAUAUUUAAAAAUACGAUCAUUGUAUUAAAACGUUGAAAAGUUUCAGGAAAAGGGGCAUAUUUUACGUUAUUCGAGAAAGAAAUUCAUAUCUAGUAAGUUAGGACACAAUGUCUCGAAUUCUCGAUACGCGAAUGAAAAAUGCUUAUUUAAAAGAUAUUUAACUAUCUUGGAUUAAAAAAUGGAUCAUGACCAGUAAGUUAGGACACGAUCCUUUUUUAAUUCCUGAUAUCGUUUAAAACUUAAGUUUGAAAAUAUUCACGUGUUUAGAUUUAUUGUGAAAAUCGAAACCCAGUAAGUUAGGGCACGACUUUCUCAAAUCUAAAUACAAAAUACUACAUUUAUUAAUUUUUAGAAAAAAAAUCCUCAUCUCGGGAAAGUAACGUGUCAUAUCCAAUGCGUUAGGACACAACAUAUUGAAUUCUCGAUAAUGAGCCUUUUAUUAUUUUAAAAAGAGUAAUCUCGAUUAUUUAGGUUCAACGAAGAAAAUCGGAACCCAAUACGUCAGGGUUCGAUUCUCUCAAGAUCCCAAAUAUCGAGUAUUACUUUUUCUUUUAAAAUUUUCCUUUUCAAGAAUCUGAGUGAAAAUGAAUAUAAUGGAUAAAUAAAUAAGUAAAUAAAUAAAUGAAUAAAUGAAUCAAGCAAAUAAAAUUAAAAAAUGCAAGAAAUGUAUGGAUGUAUACGUGUAUGUAUAUAUAUAUUAUAAGACAUAAUAAGCAAUGUAAAUAAGCAUGCAUGCAUAUAUUUAUGAAAACUAAAAGGUAUGUACAUGGGUAUGUAUACAAAUUACAUACUAUAAACGCAUAAGCAUAUAAAUAUGUAUACACAUACUUAUGAAGAUUAAAAAUAUACACAUAGAUAUAUAUAAUUGCGUAUGUAAAUUAAUUAUAGUAUAAAAAACAUAAGUAUAUAUAUAUAUAAGAAAAAAUAAAAUAUAAAGAUAAAUUUAAUAACCUUUAAAGGUAUACAUAUAUAUGUUACAAAAAUAUGUGCGUGUAUAUAAUAUAUAUAUAACAAACUUUUAGAAAAGAAAGAAAAAUAAAAUAAAUAAAUAAUAAAAAUAAAAAUGAAAGAAAACAUAAAUGAAAUAAGGAUAAUAAUAAUAAUAUUACUAAUAGAAUAAUAAAAUAAUCUAAAGUUUAAAUAUAUAUAUAUGCGUAUAUAUAAGUAAUUAAAAUAAUAAUAAUAGUAAUAAUAAAUAAUAAAAGAUGAUAAUACAUUAAAAUAAUGAAGAAAAUAAUAAAAAUGCUAAAAAGGGGACUAAAUCGAAAUAAAAGCAAACAAUACGGGGCGAAAUCGGAAUAAAAAAAAGAGGGAUUGAUUUGAAUGUGUGAAUAACAUAGAGGGGCUGGAAGGGAAAAUUUCCCUUCUCCACUAAAACGCACAGCUUCAUUGAGGACCAAAUCGAGAGAAAAGUGAAAUUUUGCGGCAAAAUUGAAAAAUAAAAACAAAAUAGGACCCAAUCGUAAACAGCCUCAAAAGUGGAAGGACCAGGAGCACAAAUAACCCCUUUUAUCCAAAAACACGCGGAUCCUUGGCGGUUCGGGUCGGGUCAGUCCAAUCCAUGUUAAAACGAAGUCAUUUUGAGGCUUCCUGAACUCCUUCAAAACGGCGCCGUUUUAAUAUCUUAUAUAAAUCAUUUUUUUCCUUAAAAUUUCAUUUUCUCCCUUUUCCUAAAAAAAACCCUAAAAUUCUCUCAAACCCUCUCCCCAUUUUUCGGGCACUGCCCAGAAGCCAGCGAGAAGAGCCGCCGUCGACGCCGUCGCGCCGGUCGCUGUACACGGUGGCCGAAAAAUCUAAAAAGGUACUUUUUUUCUCUUUUUUAUUCUAUAUGCGUAUAUACAUAUAUAUUUUACACAAAUCAAAAUAAUAAAAAAAUAAAAUAAAUAACAAUGAACAAAAAAAGAUUUGGAAACUAAAACCUUUUCUCCGUUUUUAUUUCUCUUUGUUUUUUGCUUUUUCAAAAGGAAAUCCCCCCUUUUUUACAAACAUAAAGAUCCGUCCCCCCUACAAUCUAUUUUUCAUCGGUUUUUAUACCGAAAAUAAAAUAAAAAACAAAGCCCCCUGUUGCUUGCUGUUGUGGUUUUUCUUUAUUGUUUGCAGGUGGAGUGGGUGGCGAUGGGACAGUGGCGGUGGUGGCAGUGUGGCGGCUAGCAGAGAUGGUGGCAGGGCAAGUGGGGUGCGGCGCUAGGCUAGGCUAGGGUUAGUUCUAGUUUGGGUUAGGCUAGUUGGGUCUGGGUCUGUCAUUGGAUUAAAGUUUGUAAAUGGGUUGUCUUGGUUUGGUUUGUUUUUGCUGGUACGGGCUCGGGCAAAAAUGGGCUUGUACAAAGUUAAUAGGGGUAAAUGAAAUAAAGAUACUGAUAAAACUAAAUCUGAAUGAUAUGACAUAUGUGAAAGGUAAGAAUUAUGAUUCAAGAAACAGAUAAGGAUAAAUUUUAUGAAAUAGAUUUUGAUAAUAUGAAAUGAUGUAAAAAUGAGAAGUGAAAAUGAAAUAAUUUGAAAUAGUGAAAUAAUACUUGAAUUUAAUUGAAUACAAGUUAUUGAAAUAUAUUUAAUGUAUGAAGUGAGCAUUUAAAGACUCUAACUAUAAAUUGAUUAUAAAAGAAUGAAUUGACGAUGGAAAUUGAUGAUGGAUAAAUUAUUAAAAUGGAAUGGGAAAUUGAAACAAAUGUGAAAUAGUUACUGAAAGACUAAUGUUGUAAGGUUUUAGAUAUGAAAUAGAAUAAGUUAUUGAAUUGAGAUGUAUAAAUGAAAUAUAUGAAAUAAUGAUUUUAUGAAAUGGUUAUUGAUGAAAUGCAUGAAAUAAAUACUGAUAUAGUAAGAAGAUAAAUAAGUUAAAAUAAAGAGAAGCUAUGUAAAAAAAAACAUACAUUUGAAAUAAAAUUAAAGUUUAAAUGCAUGAAUAAUAUAUUAAUGGUAAAUUAGUGGAAGAUUUAAUAUAUAUACAUCUGUGUGUGUGUGUGUUGCUUUUGCCUUAAGUAUUUGAAUUAUAGUAAUACCACUGGGUGUAUACUCAGCGUACGGUUUGUUUUCGUGCGCAGAUUAGGUAUAGAAAUUUUUGAAGAGUUGAAUUUGAGAUUACAAGUUUUCAUCUCAUCACAUCUUCAAGCAACAACAGGGUAUGCUUUAAAGUUUUGAUUAGAAUGGCAUGUACUUAGGGAAAAAAAAUAGGUAUGUUCCAAUUUUUAGUUUUUGUGUUCAAAUAUAUUAGAAAUUAGCCAAGAAUUAAUUUGGCACCACAUGUAACAUUCCUAUAUCAGGUUCCUUAAGUCGAACAUGGUAUAGGGGUGUUACAAGAUUAAUUCUAGUGAAGUUGAAAAUAGAUGUGACAGUAAGAUUAACUAUUAUGGUGAUGAGAUUAAAAUCACUGGUGAGAUGUGUGCUAGGAUUUAUGCAUAUAGAUUGUAGAUUUAUAGUAAGAAAGCAAAAUGACCAUUAUGAACAUUAAACUAAAAUUAAACUAAAGUAGUUUGCACCCUUCCGUAUAUUUUUGUACAAAUAAUAUUUUAACGAUAAAAAUAUUAUAUUUCAUAUUUCAUUUAUAAAUCAUGCAUGUCAAAUUUGACGUAAAUUAAAAAUUUCUAACUAUUUAUUUUAUGUAAAAAUACUUUUAACUGGUUAAUAAAUGUUAAUAUAUACAAUAUUUUAGACCGAUAAGAUAGAAAUAUCAAAUCAAUUUGAAAAUUUGCAUGCAUGAAUCAUACAAUAAUAUCGAUAAAUUCAAUGGUUGAAUUGUUAAAUUAAUAAUCAUAUAAAAAUAUAUGGAAGCGUAUAAAAUUACUUUAGUUUCAUACUAGUGUAAGCGGAUCUCUCCCAUUUUAAUAUAUAAAGUUAAUUAUAUAAUUUAAAAUUAUGUAAUUAAUAUUAUUUAUAAAUAUUAUAAGUAUAAAUAUAUUUCUUUAUACGCCUAACAAAUGUAAAGAAAAUCCACAAUCAAGCUAUUUGUUGAGGGGAGGUAUGUAAUUUUUAAUUUUAUGUAAUUAUAUAUACGACCCCUUGUAAAAUGGGAAUCCAGAUGAAUUUAUGCGCCCUGACCCUUCUUAAAACGAUAAAUCUUGUUUUUAGUCUUUUAAAAUUUAUUUUUAAGUUAGUACAUGGUAAAAUUUUACUUUUGCUCUUAAAAAAUGAUAAAAUUUUAAUUAAUCUUUUAAAAAUAAAAAAAGAUAUAAAUUAUUAAAAUGAUAAGAUUUCAUUCUAACUCUCCUAAAGAAUAUAUAAUUCAAUUAUAACUUUUUAAAAAAAUGAAUUUUUGAUUUCAUCCUUAUUUGAACUUCAAAAAUUACUCAAGAAAAAAAAGUUUUGCUGACUAAGGCAACAAACCAAAGAGAAACGAGAUUCACGAAGGGAUGAAGACGAAGUACAAAACCAAAGGGAUAAUCAAAGGAGAAAAGUUGUAUAAAAUAUAUGUGGUAGCGGGGAAGAGAUGCUAAGGGAUUAAUUUAUAUUUUGUUAUUCAAUAUAUAUAUUUAAUUCUUUCACUAUUUAUUGCUAUACAAAUAUUAGAUUUAUUUAAAAAUUAUGCUAUUUGUUUGUCGGAUUAAUCGUAUUUCGGGGCCGGAGCAAUGAACCUAUUUAAAGCGGUUCAUAUUGUCCUAAAAGAUCCCAACAAUGAAUAUUAAUUUUAUUUCCCCACCUAACUACGUACUCUUGGUUGGGUAGGUCCUGGCAGAGAAGUUAUAGACACAGUUUUAUACUUUGCGUCUGGAAUACUUCACUUAAUUUCCUUUGCUAUAUUGAGUUUUGGCGGUAUUUAUCAUGCACUUUGGGACUUAAAGCUCUUGAAUAAUCUUUUUCAUUUUUCGAUUAUGUAUAGAAAGAUAGAAAUAAAAUGACCAUAAUUUUGGAUAUCACUUCAUUUUGCUUGAUACAGGUGUUGUUCUUCUAGUAUAUGAUAUCUGGGCUUAGUUUAAAUUUAAAUAAAAUAAUUUAAUAGUUCGAAUUAAACCAAACUUAAACAAACAUAUUGAUACUAAAUAUAAAUCUAACAUAAACCUAGCGGCCCAUGAAUGCUUUACAUACUAAUAAAAUCAACUAAUAUUUUAUAAAUACUAUUGAAUAUAUAUGAUCAGGUAGUAUAAAUGUUGAUCAAAUAACAUAAAAAUUCAUGUACAUUCUUUACAUAAAGUUAGAACCUUUUGGGCACUGUCUUAAAUCUAUUGACAUCGGUAUUGUUGUUAGUGCAGGAGAAUAUGGGUUCGAGUACACUGAGACAUAUUAUCCUCUUAUUUAAAGGUUGAGAAGAAAUUAUAAAUAAUUCUAAGUAGUAUUUCAAAUUUUAUUAUAUUGGAUGAAUGGUUAUCUUAGAUCACAAGCUAAAUUUUGGGUUUUAUUUAGUAUGAGCUUUGUUAAUAAACUUAUUGCAUUAAUAUUGGGCUAUUUGGUUUAUAAGACUCUUCGACCUUUUUUUUUUUUUAAGAAUAAAAACAAAAUGAGCUCAUUUUUUAUUUUAUUUUUAAGUAUAUUUAUAUAAUAUUGAAUAUAUAAAUAUGUUUUAUUAUUUUGUUAUUAAAUAUUACAAAAAGUUACAAAUAAAUCAACAAAUUACAAAAAACCCUAAGUUUUACAGAUUUUACGAUUUGAUACUUAUGUUCUGAAAUAUUGACUGUUUAAGUGAUGAAUGAAUAUUUGUUACACGUUUUAAGCUUUUAUUUAUUAAAAUUUGCUUUAUUUCUAUGGAUUUUUAAUUAAAUUUGAGGACAAUGCAUAAUAUUAAAUUUAGCUCUUAACAUUUACAUAUUUUAUCAAUUUGGCCUUUGUUAUUGUUUUGAGACAAAUUUUGGCCUUCAACCUUUUAGAAAAGAGUUAAAAUGAUAUAUAUUUUUUAAUGAGAAUACUAAUUAAAAUGUCAAAACUUUAAACACGAUAGCUUGCAUGACAAUUCACGUGCACUCCGAGUUAUUUCUUUUGAAAAUUUAUGAACAUUUUAUAUUUUAUAAUUUUGAUUUUUAUAAUUUUGAAUUGUUUAGCAUGAUUAGACUCUUUUUAAAAAAAAUUAAGAGUAAAAUUUAGCUCAAAAAAAGAAUAAAGGUCAAAUUGAUAAAAAAAUAUAAAAGUUGAAGGUUAAAUUUAUCAUUAUACCAUUUUACAACUAGCUAUAUUUAAGUUGGUACCAUUUUACCGCAUAGGUCUGAAGGUCUGCUCGAAAUUUGAGAGGGUUUGAACAAAAAUAUUAAGCCCAAAAAAUGGGUUUGACCAAAAAUAUUAGGCUCGUUUAAAAUAUAGGCCAGACUCGAACUUGAACAUUUAAGGACCAAGCCCAACUUGACCUGUUUUUAAAUUUAUAAUACUUAUAUUAUGUUAUUUUUAUAUACUAUAUAAGUUAUCUUAUUGAUAAAUAUAAUGAUAACAAAUUUAAAUAUUAAGAAAAAUACGAAAAUUUUUCAAAAUUUAUUUCACUCUUCAAAAUUUUACAUCUUUCAAAAUAAACUGUCCGCUUUAGGUCUUAAACCUUGUAAUAUAUAUAUGAUUCAUUAACAAUUAAAUUAUUAGAGUUAUUUCCAAAAAUUUAAAUAAAAAAUAAACAAAAGAAGAAAUAAAAUUAUAUAAAUAAAAAGCAAGGAUAUAAUAGGAAAGAAAAACUUCAAACGAUUGACACAGACAUAGAGGUGCUCAUGGGCUGGGCCGAGCCCAAAAAAAUUUCGGCCUGCAUCCUAGGCCCGGGCUCGGUCCGAACCGAAAUAUGGGCCUGAAAUUUUGUCCAGGCCUGACUCGAAAAAAAAUUCCUAAGUCCGAGCCCGACCUGGGCCAAAAAAGUGGUGCUCGAGGCCCGGCCUAUUUUCUAAACGGGCCUUAUUUUUUGCCCAAAUCUAUAUUUUGAGCCUAUAUUUUUACCCGAAUCCUCUUAUAUUUUGGACGGGCUGUCGGGCUGAGCCGAACCACCCGACCCAUGAGCACCUCUACACAAACAGUACCAUUGACAAUAACACUAAACACUGUUACUCAAAGGAAGCUCCAGUACGUUUGAAAUCAAAGCAAGGGUAAAUGUUGGUUCAUUUCCACCCUUGUGGGGGUGUUUUCAAAUCUAAUUUUAUAUUUUUAUACAAAAAUAAAAUAUAUAUACAUAAUAAAAUUUAAACUUAAAUCUUUAUCAUUUUCAUCAUUUAUAUUUUAUCGCAUAAUCAAAUUCUCAUUCAUUAUUUAUAACAAUUUUUUAUAAAUAUAUUUAUUACGUAAUUCUAUUUUUUAUAUUUUUCAUUUUUCUAUAAUUUUAAAAAAGAAAAUGAAAUUUAUGAUUCAUACAAAAAAAUAAAAAUAAAAAAUAAAAAACAAAAGUACUCCAAAGUUGUAUUACUCGAAAUUAUGAUUCCAACAGUGUUAUAAUCAAUACCUCUGACUCGACGAUGGUGUCGAAGCGUCAGGGGUUAGACGAAGGUAUUGAUUAACUUUGUUGUGGUGCAGAUGAUGAGCAUAAAUACUGAAUUAAUUGCAAUUAAUUGUACGUAUACGGAGCUGUUUAUGGGUAGGGUAGUUGUUACCGACGAAUUAAUUAUAAUAUAUAUUAGAAAUUACAAAUUUAGAGUAUAAAUAUAUGUUUAGAAAUAACUUAUAAUAAAUAAUUAAACGUAUUAUUUAAAAUUAAUUAAUAAUGACACAUGAAAUAUGUAUGCUAUUAAAAUAAAAAAAAAUAGAUUAAUUUGUUUAUCAUAGUUGUUAGAGUUUGUGUGACUUGAAUCCUGUCACUUGUUUGACCUCUUGCCCCCAUAGAUUCUCAUUAAGCAUAAAACUAGACUGGGGUUGCUACCAGGAGUGCGUGACUCCCCGCGGUAUGAACCAUGCCGCACAAGUAGAAUAUGUCACAUCCCAAAAACUGGGUUAGAAGAAAUCGCGUUAGUAAAACCAAUAGUGGUUACGUCCUGCUUUUGAGUUAAGGUUGUGGAAAUUCUGUAAAGUGAAUUUUUUUGGUUCAAUGGUUAAGAGAUUGUGUAAUGACUCAAAUUUAAGGUUAUCGGAAUAGUAGUUUCGUAACCACAAAUUCGAUUUAAAGAGAAAUUUAUUUUAAUAUUUUUGCAUGAAUAUUGGUAUGAUAGGAAAACGUAUGAAAAUAUUGAUAGAAAAAUUUUACUGAUUUAGUGGUUAGUUAGAAAAAGAAAUUAUUGAAGAAAUUGGGUAAAAAUAAGGUAUUGAGACCUCAAUCUCGUAAAAAUGAGUCAAAAAUAUUUUUAUAAAUAUUUAUGAAGUGUUAGUAACAUGGUAUUAAAAUUUCGUUAGAAAAUUUUAAUGUUUGGGUAGUCAAUUAAGUGAAAAGGACUAAAUUGAAAGACUUAAAAGUUACUAGAAGGAUUAAAUAGCUCAAUUGUUAAAUGAGGAGGGACAUAAAUUGAAAAUAAGCCCAAAAGGAGAUAUUUUGGGUGGCAUAAGCUGAGAAAAAUCGGGAGAAUUGGAGAAUUAAGGGUAAAAUUAGAAUAUUGCAAAAUUUACUUUAAAAGUUAGGACUAAAGUGGAAUUAUCUAGAUUUCUCUUUAUUUUUCUGCAUUCUCAUCAGCCAAAAACAUUCUAAGGGUUUAUUAAAGCUGGUUUUUCAUAAUUUUUGCACCAAGUGAGUUAAUCCUUUCCUUUUUCUUGUAAUUUUUGUGUUUCUAAGACUUUUACAACUAGGUCCUAUUACUACAUUCAUUAGUUUUUGAUUUUAUGAAUGAAUUUGAAAGUUUCUAUGAAUAUUUUCUGGAAGUUUAUGAUGAAAUAGGAUGAAAUUUAAGCUUUAAUCUGUUUAUGAGAUGAUUUUAUUAGGUAAUUUCAAUAGAAAUUGAUUUGUAGGACCUAAUUGUGAAAAAGUUUGGAAUUAAAGUCUAGUGCUAAAAUUCUGAUUUCCAAAGGUUAUAAAGUAGUUUAAAGUGAUAGAAUAAAGUGUUGAUUGAGAAAAAUCAGCUCAAUUGAGAGGUUAAUUGAGCAGGGAUGAAAUUAACAUUUAUUGAAAGCUUAGGGAAAAAUGGUAAUUAACAUCAUGCACUAAAACAGUUUUGGACAGCAGCAGUAGUCUAACUUUGAAAAAUCACCAAAAAUUUUAUAAAUUUAAUUAGAGGAUGAAUAAAAUAUGAAAUUAAAGCUUAUUGAGUCUAGUUUCUUAUAAAAGAAACUGUGUAAGCAAUGAAAUUGUAAAUCAUGAGAUAUAAUAGAUUUUGUGAGACAAGGUCAGAAUGAAUUCGGGUUCCCCUGUUCUGACUUUGGAAAAUCAUUAAAAAUUGUAAAAAAAUUAUUAUGAGUUAUAAUAUAUAUUCUUAGAAUACUUAAUGAGUCUAUUUUCAAAAAAAAAAACAAGCGAGAACAUCAUCCAAAUUUUUUACAAUGAGAUAAUUAAUUUUUAGUGAAGAGAGGUCGGAACUGUCAAACAGUGAAACAGGGGAAAUUUUAGAGAAUAAACUGUACUUAUUGGCUAAACCAAAAAUUCUGAAAAUUUUAUGGUAAGAAGAUAUGUGAGUCUAGUUUCAGGAAAAAUUAACGGAUCUUAGUUUGGAGUUCCGUAGCUCAAGAUAUAAAUAAUUUAGUGACAUGACUCAGUGAGACAGCUUUGAAUGCACUAUAAAUAAUAAUGAAAUUAUAGAGAAUGUUACAUAUGAACAUGAAAUGUAUUAGAUUAAUGAUUAAAUUUAUUUAUUUAGAUCCAGAAAAUUCAAAUACAAAGAUAGAUCGAGGAAAAGAAAAAGUUCGGGAUUAGUAGAUUUUUGUUUACCAACAAGUAUCGAGGGAAGUUCGUGUAACUUGAAUUAUAUUCUUAAAUGUUUGAAAUGUUUGUUAUUGAUGUGAAAGUGAGUUGAAUGUUUAUUGUAUGAUAAUUGAUGAAGUAUUGAUAUUCUUGAUGAAAAGAGGAAAUAAAUCCCGGUUGAAUGAAGGAAAAAUUUGAUGGAUCUCUGAAAAGGAAUUGACAGUAAAAAGGAUCCAGCCCGGAUGAGUGAUCCUAUCCUGAUAUAGCCCUCCCGAAGAAUAUGUGGAAAAUGGAUUUAGCCCGGACUGGUAAUCCGAAUUAGGGUCUGAAUUUAGCUUGGACUGGUAAUUCAGAUCCAAGCUCAUUAGAGUAAUUGUCGUUGCAGGGGAUUUAGCCUGGACUGGUAAUCUUGACAAUACUCUAUGAGUUUAUAUUACAGGGGAUUUAGCCUGGACUGGUAAUCCCGCUGUAAGGAUGAGGUUCGCGGGAGUGUGCUUUCUGAAAUGGAAAUGUGCUACAUGAAUAUGAAUUGACGGACCUGGAUUUGUACACUUAGGUGUACCCCUAAAAAUCCAUCGAAAUUCCGAGAAGUUCAACGGGAUAAAUAUGGAAAAAUAACAAGGAAAUGGAAAUAAUGAAAUUGAUGAGCUCAUCAAUCAUGAUAUAUAUAUUAUUGAUACAUGAAAAUUAUUGGACUAAUUUGAAUGUUGAGUUUGUGCAUGAUAGGGGAAUAAUGUAUUGAAUGGAUGUAUGAAUGUUUAUUGCAUUGUAUUGAAAAUAUUAAGUAAGUAUAAUUCUUGUUACAUGAGCUUACUAAGCACAAAGUGCUUACCCUGUUUCCUUUUCCCCUAUUUUGUAGUGUUAAGAGCUCAGAGGUCGGAUUUGGUUGGAGACGCAUCACACUAUCAACCUUAAGAUCUCGGUAUAUAAAGAAACUUUAUUUUGGAAAUCAAUGGCAUGUAGAAGCUAGUAAAGUAGAUGUUAAUGUGAAAUGAAUGUAUAGUUAGCCAUUGGUAUGACUAACAGAUUUUGGUUUUGGUAUGUGAUGAGAUUAUCUUAUGAAUAUGAUAAAUCUAUCUUGAAAAUAUAUUGAAAUGGAUUGGUCUCGGUUUAAAAUUUGCAGGGAAGAUUAGAUAUUUAUAAAGGGGUUAUAUUGAGUUUUUUAAAAAAAAUAAUAUUUAUUCGGUAAAAUAUGGUAAUGGCCCAUACUCUAUUUCGGCGACGAAUACGGGUAGGGGGUAUUACAGAUUGUGCUUGUGUGACAGAGGUUCUAGGUUCACAUAUUUUCCCCUUGUAUUUUUUCCAAUUUUGUCUAAACCUUUAGCUUUGGGUAUCUGGCAGGCAUGACCUUGGGGGUUGUCUGGAGGUGCAGCACAUAGGGCCCAAGGCGGAAAGGGGUCCAAAAUAUUAUUUCUCAAUUUUUAAGGGGCCUAAAAAAACUUUUUUUAGCUUUAAAGGGCUCAAAAAUUUUUUAUCAACUUUUAAGGGACCUAAAUUUUUUUCUCUCCAACUUUUAAGGAACCUAAAGCACUAUUUUAUUAUUUUGCCUAGGGCCCCAAAAAUGUCAAGAAUGGGCCUAGUAUCUGGUUUAAGAAAUAUUUGUGUGCAUUUGUUGACAAGAAUGAAUUUGUUAGUCUAAUGGUAAAGUGUUAGUUAACCCUUAGGUCCUAUGUUCGAACCGUUGUGUGCAAAUUCUUGUUUUGAACUUUGGGGAAAAUCUAGUAAGGAUAACUAAUGAAAUUUAGUGGGGUUAUGGGUGGUUUAAUUGAAUUUUUUUAAAAAUGAUUCCCCAAAAACUCUCGCACUUCCUUUCCACGUUCUCACAUUCUUCCCUCCCUCUUUCUCUAUCGUUCCACUUUUAUUAUUUCUGUCAAUUUCUUCUUUCUAUUUGUUUUCCUCUAUUUCUCCCUUUUUUUUUGCCUUCUGUUCUAUUUUGUUUGUUAUAAUAUUAAUGUCAAUUUUUCUUAAGAAUAUUAUUCCAACAAAACAAAAAUAGUUUAUCAAAAUAAGUUUGAAUGGGUUUUUUUUUAAGAAUAAAUCUUCAUUAACAUUUUAACUGAAAUAGUAAAGAGACCAAAUUUUGUUAAAAAAAGUAUAAGAAUUAAAUAUCAAAUUUAUACAUACUAAGGGAUCAAAAACAAAAUAUGGUUGAAGGCUCUCUAUACUUAAAAAUAAACUAUACCAAAUAAAAGUAUUGGGAUUAAAUCUCUUAAGCAUGUUGCACUCACAAGUAGCGAAAGAGAGGAAAAACAAGCUUUCAACUCAAAUGAGAGAAUAUGAUAUUUAUUGAAUUGAUGAAUAAUUUCAAAUGGUUCUAGCCUUUUAUAAGCUUUAUAAUAGCUAAAAUUAGUAACUCAAAGCUAAAAAUAGCAAAGUCGAAUGAGAGAAAAAUCCUCAAUAAUCUCUAAUUUCUAGGGAUUAUUUACCAAAAUAAUCUCAACAAUCCCUCCCUUAAACUGAAAGUACAAUGAACUUUCAGUUUAAUAAAUACUUACUAGCUACUUGAUGUCAAAGACCUAGUAUUUUCCUGAACUUGAUAAAUGAUGCCAACUUGAGAGGCUUAGUAAAUACAUCAUCAACUUAAUUCUCACUUCAGCAAUACUUUAGCUCAAUUGCUCUUUCAUUGCUGAGAUAUGACAGAAAGUAAUAUUUUACAUCAAUAUGCUUGCUUCUUCCAUGCAACACGAGAUUUUUUGACAACUUGAUGGCUGAGUUGUUAUCACAAAAAAAAUAUAGCGGCUUUUUCUGGUUUGAAUUGUAGUUGUUCAAGGAUUCUCCUAAGCCAAAUAGCUUGACAAGCACAAGUUGUAGUGUCAAAAAAUAUGACAAUGGAUUGUUUCUUAGAUGACCAUAAAAUAGCCCCUGUUCCAAGCAUAAAAACAUAACCUAAAAUGAUCAUUCUGUCAUCUUGAUCUCUUGCAUAAUCACUGCCAGUGAAGCCAAUCAUGUUUGACUUUUCACCCUUAUUGUAGAAAAUCCCAAAUCUUUGGUUCCUUAUAAGUAACGAAGUAUUCUCUUAGCAGCUAAUAAAUGUUUUUUGUAACACCUCUUACUCGAGACCGUUGCCGGACUCGAGCACGAGGCAUUACUUAACUUAUCGUACUAAUUCGGAGCAUAAAAAUUUACUUUGCAUAUUAAUUUCACUAUUUACAGCAAAGCUGUCCAAUCGCGUAGCAGUUACUAAAUUAACUAUAACUCAAGCUAAAGAACUCGAAAUUUAACUCCGUAAAUUUUCCCUGAAACUAAAAUCAUAUAUAUAUUUUCCAUAAAAUUUUUAGAAUUUUUGGUUCAGCAAAUUAGUACAUUUUAUUAGUUAAAGUCUCCCUGUUUCACCAUUUGACUGUUCUGACCUCUUGUUACUAAAAAUAAGUUUUCUCAUUAUAGGAUUUUCAUAUUCUAUCCCCACUUGUUCCUACAGAAAAUAGACUCAUUAAGGAAUCUAAUAAUGUAAAUUUCAACUCAUAAACAUUUUUGUACAAUUUUUAAUGAUUUUCUAAACUCAAAACAGGGGACUCUAAAAAACAGUUCUGACCCUAUCUUACUAAAAUUCACAUAUCUUAAAAUAUAAAUUUCCUUUUGCUACACCGUUAUUUUUACAUGAAAAUAGACUCAACAAGAUUUAAUUCCACAUAUCAUUCACCCUCUAAUCCAUUUUAUACCAUCCUAGGUGAUUUUUCAAAGUCACAUCACAGUGCUACCUGAAUUCUGUUUCUUUGCAAAAAUUUAUCCUUUCAUGAUUUCCAUGCAUAAUUUAUCACCUAGACUUUCAUAACAACAAACACCUUCAUACUUAACCCUUUUAAUGAUCAUACAUCAUCAAAUGCUUACACAUCAUUCAUUAGCAAAAUCAUAAUCACAAACAUACAAAAUAACUAAAUCCCUAUACAUGCCAUAACUCAAACGUGUUUCAUCAUAAAAUACCGAGCAAUUGUGGUUGAUAGUGUGGACGAUCUCCGACUUCUUUAGGAUCCUUGAAGUAGCUUGCAAUACUAUACGAGGAAGAGAAAUAAAAGAAGUAAGCAUAAAGCUUAGUAAGUUUACUAGCAAAUAAAUAACAACAUUAAACACAAAUAAUUAAACUCAAGUGUCCAUAUCUCUAGUUUACUUUUUAGUUAAUCUCAUUCUAGUUCUCUUGCUUAUUUACUUGGAAUACUUGUGUACAUAACUUACUCUUCUCUUGCUGCAUCGUUGAAUACCAAUUGAUAAUAUAAUAAGUUUUUAGCUCUUAUAACUUACCUGAGCUUGCCUUUUAUGCUUUAAACUGAACUUUCAUGAACAUGAUUCGUUUAUUAGCCCGUUGAGCUACAUUGGAAUAAUAAGGAUACUCGAGUCUCUUCUGAUAAUAACAUGCCAAAGCCAUGUCCUAGACAUGGUCUUAUAGGGGACCUCUCAUCUCGGUGGACAUGGUCUUACAUGGGACCUCUCAUCUUGGUGCCAAUGCCAUGUCCCAGACAUGGUCUUACAUGAGACCUCUCAUCUCGGUGCCAAUGCCAUGUCCCAGACAUGGUCUUACAUGGGACCUCUUUACCCAAAUGUCAUGACAUUCGUAUCCAGUACCAUCCUUAUGUAUCAACGGGACUUUUUAAUUUUAAUUCUCUAUCAUUUCAUGCUUGGAUCAUCAUCAAAUAAAUUCAUGAAAUAAAUUCAUAGUUUUUGGAAAAUAAUAGCAUUAAUAAUAAAUAUUGAAAUAUUACAUUUAUUUACCGUAAACUUACCUCGGUAUCAAAUAUAGUCCAAUUCAACAACUUAGUCUUCAACUUUAUUCUUCUCUUUGUCUAACCUCGUGUUUCAUUCUUCUUGAUCUAAAAUAGAAAAUUUAACUUAUUUAAUACUCACAUUCAUCAAAACAGCCCUCGACUCUAACUUUUUCAAAAUUACACUUUUUCCCCUAAACUUUUACAUAAUUACAUUUUUCCCCAAGGCUCGGAAAUUAAAAUUUAUCCCUUAUUCUUAUGUUUUAUGACAUGCUGAACAUUUUUACCUUCUAUGACAACAUCAAAUUCCCACUCUAACAUGUACUUAUGAACAUUAGGUAUUUUUACCGAUUAUGUCGUUUUACUCGUUUUCAAUUAAAAUCGCUUAGCAAAAGUUGUUUAACAUAAUUUAUAACUUCAUAUUCUACUAUAAAACAUCAAAAUAAACACUUUUUACCUAUGGGUAUUUUUCCAAAUAAAAACCCUAGGUUAAAUUAUUGCUAAAAUAAGCUAAAUUAAGCUACCGGGAUCUCAAAAACGUAAAGAACAUUGAAAACGGGGCUUGGGAUCACUUACUAUGGAGCUUGGAAGCUUAAAAACCCUAACUAUGGCUUCCCCCCUUGCUGAUUUUGUCCAAAUGAAGAAGAUGAGCAUAAUUUGCCAUCUUUUUCCCUUUUAAUUAUUUUUAUUACUAGAUUACCAAAUUGCCCCUAACUUAAAAAUUUUCUAUUUCACUUAUCUCAUGUCCAUUUUUGUCUACCAAGUUACCAAUGGUCUAAUUACCAUAUAAGGACCUCCAAUUUAAAGUUUCAUAACAAUUGGACACCUCUAACAUGUAGAACUCAACUUUUGCACUUUUUACAAUUUAGUCAUUUUGACUAAAUUGAAUGCCCAAACGUCGAAAUUUUCGAACGAAAUUUUUAUGAAAUCAUUUUGUGAAAUCAUAGACCAUAAAAAUAUAAGAAAAAUAAAAUUUUUCUCAUCGGAUUUGUGGUCCCGAAACCACUGUUCCGAUAACCUUAAAUUUGGGCCAUUACAUUUUUCAACUAGGCUCUCCAUGUACCUGCUAAUAAGACUCAUAAAAUACAUAAUGUUUGGCCUCGUAGUAGUUAGACACAUCAAACUACCUACAAUUUGCUUGUAAAGUAUGUUAUCCAUAUUUUUUAGUAAGUUUUAAGCCAAACUCAUUGCAGUAUUGGAAGAGUUAUAAUUCGUCAACUUGAAUUUGUCCAAAAUCUCUCUGACAUACUUUUUCUCUUCCUUCAAGUAUCCAUGUAAGAAUGUCGACUUAAAAUCUAACUAGAAGAUUGAUGAAGAGUUCUGCGCUACUAAAGCAAUCACCAAUCUGAUGGUGUUAUGUCUUGCAACUAAGGCAAAAACUUUUGUGUAGUCCACACCAUACUCUUGUUUGUACCCCUUAGCUGCUAAUUGCGUAUUGCACUUCUCAACCUCCCUAUUUUCCUUCAACUUUGUCUUGUAGAUCCACUUGACACCAAUGGUUUUGUGCCCCUCAAGAAGAUCAGUCAUCUUCUAAGUAUCAUUCCUUUUAAUGGCUUCGAUUUUAGCAUCCAUUGCCUCUUUCCAUUUUACCUCAUUGGCAACAUUUUCAAAACUUAUUGGGCCACAAUUUGUAAAUAAUACAAAUUGAGAAAUUGCAUUAUCAUUUUCUCUAAUUUUGGUUACGUCAUAAUGUUACAUCCAUGCUAGCCUUCUUCGAACAUGACGAAGUGCUUCAGCUAUUGUACUAGUUUCUUCUUCAUGUGUAAACAAUACUUUAGUGGCUAAUGGAGAAGUAUUCUUGAGCAUUUCUUUAGCUUUAUUAUCACAAAGAACUUAAGUAGGUUGUGCUUCAUCCCAAUCCCAAGUGUUCUCUUCAUGAAACACAACUCUCGACUAAUCACAACAUUCUUUGUCACAGGAUUGAACAAUUUGUAUGCCUUUAAUUUGAUUUUUCAAUAAUACCAAGAAAGACACAUCAACAAGCUUCUUUUAUUUCUCCUCUAAGACAUGUGCUUAGGUAAUGCACUUAAAAAUUUUGAAAUGAUCUACCACUGGUCUCCUUCCACUCUAAGCCUUCUCCGGAGUCACAUCUCGAAGAGCAUUAGUAGGGCUCCUAUUCAAGAUGUAGAUGUUCCAAUUUAUAGCUUUUGACCAGUACACCUUUGAAAUUCUCCUUCUUGCUAGUAGGCUUCGAACCAUGUAGAGAAUGGUUCAAUUUUUCCUCUCUGAUACAUCAUUUUUUGUGGUGUAUAAGCAGUUGUGAGCUCUCUUUGGAUGCUGUAAACAUCACAAGUCUUCAAACUCCUUAGAGGAAUAUUCACCACCACAACUAGUUCAAAGAGCUUGAAUGGUUCUUCUUUUCUUAUUUCCUACACCAGCUUUGAAGCUUUUAAAUGCAUUAAAAGCCUUUGAUUUUUCUUGUAAAGGUAAACCCAUGUCUUACAAGAAUAAUAAUCAAUAAAGGUAAUAAAAUUCCAUUAGAAAUUGGAUUUAUUGGCCCACAAAUGUCUGAAUACACCAACUCCAAUACCUCUUUUGCUUUUCAUGACUUACCUUUGGGAAAUUGAGAUUGAUGUGGUUUACUAGCAACAAAUUCUUCACAAACUAGGGAAGGAAAAAUAAUUGGAGGAAGACUAGUCACCAUAUUUUUAUUUUUAAGUAUCUUCAAACCACCAAAGUUUAAAUGACCAUAGCAAAAAUACCACAACCAAGAAGGAUAUUUAACUUUUGCUAUUAAACAAGAUUGAGCAACCUCAAUCUUCAAUGGAAACAACCUAUUUUGACUUAUUUCCAUAAUAGCAACAACUGUUCUAGAUGGAUCAGAAAUCUCACAAGCACCAUUCCUGAAAUUAUCAACAUACCCUUUUUCCAACAGUGGCAUCAAAGCCAAGCUUGUUAUUGUUAGCUUGGAAAAGCUUUCACCUAUGACCUUGGAAAGUAGUCUUGUUCAAGUAGUUAUUCCUUGUUUUGAUGAUCACUAUGACCAUUGGAGUAUGCUAAUGGAGAAUUUCCUAUGGUCAAAGAAGUAUUGGCCAAUGGUUAGGGCAGGUAUCAAAGAGUCUGCAGAAGGAGAAACUUUGACGAAUGCCCAGAAAGUAAGGUUCGAAGCAAGAAAGCUGAAAGAUUUGAAGGUGAAAAAUCAUCUCUUUCAAGCUAUUGAUUGUCUCAUCUUGAAAACUGUUCUUUGCAAAAAAAAAACUUCCAAGGAUAUAUGAGAUUCCAUGAAGAAAAAGUAUCAAGGCUCUGCCAGAGUGAAGUAAUGACAUCUUCAAGCCUUGAGGAGGGACUUCGAGACUCUAUAGAUAAAGGAAAGGGAAUCUAUCACUGGCAAUUAUGUUAGAACCAUGGAGAUUUGUAAUAGGAUGCAAUUCUAUGAUGAGAAGAUGGAGGGUGCCACCAUAGUGGAGAAGAUUUUGCGCUCCAUGAUGCCGAAGUUUGAUCAUGUUGUUUGCAUCAUUGAAGAGUCAAAAGACAUAGAUGAAUUGUCUCUUGAUGAGUUGCAAAACUCUUUAUUUGUGCAUGAGCAGAAGAUGAAUUGUACUUUAGCCUUCAAGGAAUAAACUUUGAAGGCUUUUACUUUUUUUUUCAAUUUUAGAGGAAUGGGUAAAGGUAGAGGUAUAUAUUGGGAAAUGUGCCUAUAGUUUAGUAAACAUGUAACUAUUUUCUAUUUAUUUAAACGGUGAAUUAAUAAAUAAAAUUAAUUUCACAUUUCACUAUUAUGUCUUUUGUAUUUUCUGUCUUUUAUAUUUACAAUACAUAGCAAAAUUGUGACAAGCAAAUAUUAGCUCAUUGAUUGUCUAAAGUUCAAACUGAAGAUAAGUGACAUUGUAAAGAACAUUUACAUUGUGGGAAAGACAACUUAUUUUAGUAGAUAAUCUAAAUGAGUCCGUAAUCUCGUAAAAGAAUCAAAGUGAGCAUUUGAUUCAAAUAGUGAGAAGGAUUAUCAUGUCAUCUACAAUUCUAAUUAGGGAGAUGGCUAGUCUUGGCUAUCGGAGUAGUUGACUCUAUUAGUAGAGAAAUAUAUGUAUUCAUUGGUAGAAUGAUACAUUGGAUUGGACCCAAUAUGAAUUAAUUCACUUUUGACGUUCAUGGUGUGGUUUAUCCAAAUAUUGAGUUAGUCACUGACCAUGCGUAUGCAACCCAUGUGCUUUGAUAUAAGUGGAGGCUUAUGCUCUAAAGAUGAUCGAGCCCAUAGUCGGUAUGUUGGGUACAUAACUUGUGUAUGGCAUGAUUUUACUAGCAACAAUGGAAUUCAUAGCUCAAUUAAAGAGUUAAUGAUAUCCUCUCAUUGGUAUUGUGUGGAUUGAUAAAUAUAGAACGUGGCCACGGGUUGCUUGUUCUUGAAAGAGUAAUUUAUCACAGUCAUUUGUUGACAGUGAUCGUAUUAAUCAUUAAGGAGACACAAUAGUGAUAAUGAGAUAAAAUAAGAUUGUAUUGAGUGAACGGAUUUAAGUCAAAGGAAUCAAGGAUAUCAUAUGAGGGUAACACACACAUGAUGAGGUCAUUGGACAAAGCAGUUGGGUGAAUUGCUUUCUUAAAGAGUAUACAAUAAUGAGUUUUCAAUCAUGGCACUUCUUAUGGACUGACUCUUGAUUAAGUAAUUGCGAAUUAUUGUAAUGAUGCUUUUAGACAUAAUUACAAUCACUAGAGCCUAAUUGUAUAUGUUCAAUUAGUCCAUCCGUUAGCUCAACAAAAGCUUGAUCGUACUGCAUUUGAAUCAGAAGAAAAUUCUACGACUUUGGAAAUAAUUUAAUUGAGUCAAUUUAUUCGAUAUGGAAUUAAAUUAGGUAGUCGCGAGAAUUGUUUAACUAGAGAAUUUGGUUAAAUAAUUUUCUUAAAAAAUUAAUUUGGAAAAUCUAAGUGAUUUUUAGGAAAAUUAAUUUUGAUCAAGUAAAAUUAAAUUGAUCAAAUUAAUUAAAAUUAAUAUAAUAUUUUUGGAAAUUAAUUUUCAAGUAAGACAAUUGGUCCAAUGGGUAAUUGAACUUUAAAAUUGGACCUGAGAUCAUAAGCGUGAGAGCCCAAAACCAAGACUAAGACCCAAAAACUGGUCGAAUCGGGCUCGGUAUGUGAAACCGGGUCGACGGUCCAAUUGGUGACUAGAUUGAAUUGGUCGGGUUGUCAUUGACCCGGACCAAACCGGCUCAGGGUGCCGUAAGGGUGUCGCACCUGCAUCACUGGACAUAUCGGUGUUGGUGGCUGCGACGACGGCGUCCUGGUGACUGCUGGAGGUUGGUCAUCGGUGAUUGAGUUGUGGAAGAGUUACACUCCUACUGGGACUCUACCAGAGAAUUUAAUUUCAAAUUAACUACUUAAAAAAUAAUAUUAUUUUAAUAGUUUAACAUUAAAUUUAAUUUAAUAAUUAUCUUAAUAGUAUUUUAUUAAUUUAAUAUUAAAAUGAUUAUGCUAAUAUUAAAUUUAAUUUAAUGUUUAUCUUGUAGAUAAAUAUUCUAUUAUUUUAAUAAGAUUUAAUAUUAAAUUUAAUCUAAUAUUUAUCCUGGUAAUUAUUAUAUUAUAUUAAUUUAAUAUCAAAGUGAUUAAGUUUAAUCAUAGUUGAACUCUCUAAACUCUCCCUAUAUAAAGAGAUCAUUGAGUCAUUAUUUACACACCCUUGAGUUCAAGAGAAAGUUGUAGAGAGAAUUUUCUGAAGAGAUUAUUUAAAAAUAUUUCUAGAGAUAUUUUUUUGAUUUAUAACUUGACCCAAAAGUUUAGAGAGAUUGUAAAAUUACCCCACUGGUAAUUUUUGUGAAAAAUUUUCUAAUUCGAAGCGAGCUCACACUUGGCAAACGUGAGCUUGAAGAUUGCGGAGAAGACUACUCGGUCGAAGCGCUAAUCUUAGACGAAUAAAAAUAAAUAGUUUUGAUUAAGUGUUUAUUAUUUUAGAUAUCAUAACCUAAAUUUAUUUUCGUCUGCGUUUUCUCAACCUAUUUUUCCAACAAUAUAAGGAGAAGUUUGAGGUAAUAUAAAUGGUGGCAACAGAAAUGGUAGCAAGAAUUACGAAAUCAAUGAGGACCAAAGUAAGGAUAAAUGACGAGGUUUUGAUAAAUCUAAAAUAAAAUGCUUCAUGAGGUAAAAAUUUGGUCAUUAUCAUUUUGAAUGUUAUUCUAGGCUACUAAAUGAUAAGGAUGAAGAAUCACAUUGAAAAGGAAGCUGAGCCAAAUGUAUAAUAUGUGGAUAUAGGUUGUAGUAUUUUUUUCGUAUUUAAAUGAUAAUUUUCGUUGUAGAAUCACCUUUGGUGAUUAUUGUACUGUGGAUUUCAUAAUUAAAAUUGCACGUGAAAUUUGACGUUUCCUAAAAACCUUAAUUGUUUUUGAAGACUUUUGUUACUAUACCCCGAUCCUUAUAAGAUCCAUCACCGUGAAAUGACAAAAAGUAAUUCAAUGCACAUUAAUUGUGCCAGCGGCUCCAAGCCCAUUGAUUUCACUAUACAUUCCAUGCUUUUAGGUUAACCAUCUUCACACAAUCAAAUCAAGCUAGUUAGCAAUGGCUUCCACUACCAAUUCCCCAUCAACCCUCCUCACCCUUCCUAAUUUCUCCAUUCAAACUUCAACAUUCCUUCCCAAAACAUCUCAACGUUCCAUAUUUAAGAAGAAAAAGCCUUUCAACUUUAACUCCAAAAGAGUAGUGUCAUGCAAAGCCAGCAAUGGGAAACAAAACGAUGCAGAUCACACUUCUUUUCUCAAUAGGUUCGAUAGAAGGGACAUCCUUCUUGGCCUUGGAGGAAGUCUCUACGGUGCAACCAGCCUUGUUAGAGACCCAUUUGCAUUGGCAGGCGACGCAAUCAAGCCUGACCUGUCCAGCUGUGGGGAAUCAACCGUAGAUACCGGUAAAAACUGCCUGAAUGUCCCUUGCUGCCCACCAAAGUUAAAAGGUUCGAAGAUCAUAGACUUCGAACCACCUUUAGGUUGCAAGAUCCGUUAUCGGCCGGCAGCACAUUUAGUUGAUCGUGAUUACCUGUAUAAAUUUGAAUCGGCAAUGGAGAGAAUGAAAGCUCUCCCUGUGGAUGAUCCACGUAAUUUCAUGCAACAAGCCAAUAUUCAUUGUGCCAAUUGCAAUGGGGCUUAUAGUCAAGUGGGGUUCCCCGAUCAAAAACUUGAAGUUCACUACUCGUGGCUUUUUUUCCCAUUCCAUAGGAUGUAUCUGUAUUUCUUCGAGAGGAUAUUGGGCAAGUUGAUUGAUGAUCCAGAUUUCGCAAUGCCAUUUUGGAACUGGGAUUCUCCCUGUGGGAUGACUAUGCCUCAGAUAUAUUUAGACCCUUACUCUCCAUUGUACGAUGAAAACCGCAAUUUGAAGCAUCAGCCGGACGUUUUGGUUAAUCUUAAUGACGGUAAACCUGUUGUAAAAAAAAAAAAAUGAAAAAGAAGAAGAAGAAGAAGAAGAAGAUAGUUUUGAUAAAUUAACAAAGAGGAAACAAAUAAAGAGUAAUCUCUAUGUGAUGUAUCAGCAAAUGGUACGGUCCGCCAAGACCGCUUCUUGUUUCCAUGGAGCGGCGUACCUUGGCGGUUGUGAAUCGGAAACCGAUAUCAGUUGUACUCCCGAACCGAGAGGUGGUACCAUUGAGAACGGUGCUCACAUCGCCGUUCACAAGUUCGUUGGUGCCGAGAAUCCACCUUAUAACGAAGACAUGGGGAGUUUCUAUUCUGCUGGUAGAGACCCUUUGUUCUACGCUCAUCAUGGCAAUGUUGAUCGAAUGUGGAACAUUUGGAAGACAUUGCCAGGGAAGAAGCGACGUGAUUUCGACGAAGAUGUUUGGCUCAAUUCUUCGUUUCUUUUCUACGAUGAGAAUGCAAAUAUGGUUCGCGUUAAAGUUCGCGAUUGCCUUGACUCUAAAACUUUGGGGUACGAUUACCAAAGUGUUGAUAUUCCAUGGCUUAGAAGCAAGCCAACACCUCGAAGGAGUCGUCCUGGUGUGGGAAGGGAUCAGGAUCAGGGUCAGGAUGUAGCAGCCAGACGAAAGAGUAAAAACUUCAGGCGUUUUCCAAUAGUUUUAGACAAGGUGGCCGUACGCAUUGAGAUUCCAAGGCCAAAUAAGGAACUAAGAAUAAAGAAAAAAGAUGAAGAAGAAGUAUUGGUUCUUCAAAACAUACAGCUAGACAGAAAUGACUCAGUGCAUUUCGAUGUCUCCAUUAAUGACGAUGAAGACGACGACAACCCUUGCAAACCGGAAGAUGCGCAGUUCGUGGGGAGCUUUUCGAGUUUACCGCGCGGAGAUAGUUGCCACUCCGAGGCGAUGCUUAGUACAAAUCUGUAUUUGGCAUUAUCAGAUGCGCUGGAGGCUUUGAAGAUUCAAUUUGAAGAUACCAUUGUGGUGACUUUGGUGCCUAAAGAAGGGGAAGUUUCGAUUGGUAACAUUAAGAUCGACUACGUUUGUUGAUUUGGGGGUGAAUAUUUUGCUUCAUCCUUUGUGUUCUCGCUAGAUCGGAUUGAUGGGGUUCAUCAAUUUGUUUCUCGCAUGUGUCUUUUUUUUUUUUUAAUAAAAAUAUCAAGCUAAAUGAACAAAAGCAGCGGCAGCUUUAUCUUGCUCAAGAAGAUAAUCAACUCCCUAAAGGCGCCUGAUAUUUUCUGCAUAUCAUCAAUUCAAACAGGAGAUAUUUUAGUUAACCGAGUAACCACUUGAUUUCUUUAACUAUCCAAGACUUCUUGCACUGUAAAUAGCUCUGAAUGCUUCCAAGUAAUCUGUCUAAAUUAAAGCUUUGACAUAUAUAACAAGAGUAACUCGUCCGAGAUACUCUAGAAUUCAACAUUAAAGACUGAAUAAAUAUCUAAAUUAUGAUUGAACCCGACAAUUUAAUCUUGCCAAUUUUUAUUAUUAAAUUUUACCAUUUACUUUUUGUAUUAUUUAUAAAUUUUAAGUCCAGCUUUAUAAAAAAAUAUCAUUUUAGUUCUUCAUUUAAUUUUAUCUCUUUUUAACCCUUAAACUUAUGUUGUUUGUCAAAUUGUCUCAAAAUAAAUAAAAUAAAUUAAUAUCUAUUAACUUACUCUAGAAUUCAACAUUAAAGACUGAAUAAAUAUCUAAAUUAUGAUUGAACCCGACAAUUUAAUCUUGCCAAUUUUUAUUAUUAAAUUUUACCAUUUACUUUUUGUAUUAUUUAUAAAUUUUAAGUCCAGCUUUAUAAAAAAAUAUCAUUUUAGUUCUUCAUUUAAUUUUAUCUCUUUUUAACCCUUAAACUUAUGUUGUUUGUCAAAUUGUCCCAAAAUAAAUAAAAUAAAUUAAUAUCUAUUAACUUUGUUGACACAUCCACGUGUAUGCCACAUCAACAUUUACUUAAUUCUUUUUACAAAAUUAAAAAAAUUCUGAAACAUUAAAAAAGCUUUAAAAUUAUAAAAAAUUUAAAAAUUAUAAGUUUUAUUUAAUAAUAAAAUUAUAAUAAUAUUCUAUACAUUUUAGAAUUUUUAAAAAUUUUAAUCAGUUAUUAACGUGACAUACACGUGGAAUGCCACAUAAACAAAAUUAUUAAGCGUUAAUUUUUCUAUUCAUUAUAAAGUGCUUUGACAAAAAAACGCUAGUUUAACGGUUAAAAGUGGCGAAGAUUAUAUGAAGGGUUAAAAUGAUUUUUUUUAUAAAAUUGAAGGACUAAAUAAGUCAUUAUGCCUAAAUUUUAUCAUAUUUAUAAAUAAAAUUUUAAUUUUACUAAAAUAUUUGAUUAAAUAUAUUUACUUUAUAAAAAAAUUGUCAUACUUUUAUAAGAAUUUCGAGUCAAUUAAAAUACUUUUAUUAAAUGAAUUUAUAUAAUAAUAAAUAAAUUUAAAUUUUAUAUUGAAUUAAUUUAUAUUAAAUUAUUAUGUUUUCAUUAACCCAAAAAAGUUAUAUUACUUAUUUUUAAAUGAAUUUUUUAAUUAUUUAUAUGAUAGGUAGCUUUAUAUUUUACAUGCAAUAUUUUAUAAAGAAUACAUUUAUAUAAUCUAAUCUAAUAGAUUAUAAUUAUAUGAAGGCUUGAUUCGCAAAUUGGUACCUAAGUUAUGUUAUUUUUUCCAUCUUGGUAUCUAAACUUUUUUUUUUUUGUUAUCAGUCAUCCUUAAGCUAUUUUUUCCCCAAAUUGGUAUAUCUGUUAGUUAACCCAUUAAGUCUAUUUAAAAAAAAAGUUCAACCCACAAAUUAGUACCUCAGCAGUACUCUUUUUCUCAAAUUGGUACCUAAUUUUUUUAUCAUAAGUGAUACCUAAACUAUUCUUCCAUCACCAUUUUACACCAAAAUAUUAUAUUCGUUAAAAAAAUUACAACCAAUUAUAGAUUGUCACUUCAUAUAAACUUUUAAUUUUUUUAACUUUUAUUUAUUUAUUUUACAUUAAUUCUGUCUUUAUAUAUUUUAUUUAUUUAUUUUUCUUCCUUUAUAAUGCCUAGUAAUACCAACAAUACUUAAAAUUGAUUCGCUCGAGGUUGAGACACCGGUGAUUAAUUCUGUUUUGAAAUUUCACCAUGUUGAUUAAACCUUAUAUGAAUUAUAUUUAAUUUGAGUUGGAAUCACAAUAAAUAAUUAUAUAUAUUUAUGCAAGAAAUUAAGAAUUUUAUAUAGUUCAUGAAUAAUAUAUAAUUCAUAUAAGGCUUAAUCCAACAUUCACCCUUCGGCAUUUCCGGCAUACCAACAUCUACACCAUAUCAUCAGUGGGCAGCCCAAUCACUGACUUCUGUCGACGAACAGGCUUACACUCCGCUGCAAACAAUCCCAUCCACUCCAAGCGGCCAUAAAUCAACCCCAACAAUCGCCCCACACCAUCCUUGAACACCCCACUCCAUCCCCCAAGCCUUUCUUCACUCUGAAUACAAUACAUAAAAUAAAAAUGAAGAGACGACUCUCCCAUCUGCAAGGAAAGGAUGUUGCCCCCUUUCAACCAACCAUUCUCAAACCAUGGUUCAUGCCACCAACCAAGCUCACUUACCACCAAUAAUGGCUCUAAUCCAACAAACAGAUCGCAUUUUGCAAAGGAAAAUGAUCUCUUCAGCAAUCCACUCUUUUCCAUUAAGUAUUAAUUCAUUCCUAGCUAGCCACAAUGACCAUAACAUAGCGCCACAAGCAACAAGCCACUUCCUCUUAACAUUCGAUCUUCCAAACAUGCAGCAACGUACACAAAAUCACUGACAUUCCAAGGAAUCACCCACAUAACACCCCACCAUUGAAAAACAGUCCCUAAGCUUUCCAAGAGGAAGAACGAAAGAAAAAAAUUAUCACAAUUCUCUUCAGCAUCAUUGCACCAAGAACAAUUAACACAACCAUUAACUGUUGGAAAUACCUCGAUCCCUUAAAAAUGCAUUUUGAAGGUAUACCAUUUUGGAGUAACAGCCAUAGGAAGCAUUGCACCUUUGUUGGAACGCAUAGCUUCCAAAUGAAAGAAAACCACACCUUUUGAUGCGCCAAAGAACCUCACAAUCAAGAGAAAACACAACUUUCUUCACAGUACAUUUCCCUUUGCUGUCCACCUCCCACAUCAACUGAUCUGCCUUGUUCUCAUUUAAAGAGACCCAUUUGAAAAUCUGCCACAACUCCAUCGCAGACCCCCUCUCCUGUUCAAACAAAUCUCUUUUGAAAAAUCUUUCAUCCUUGUGAAGACCAUCCCAAGCCUCGUCCACCGUGAUAUUUUUCUUCAAAGCCAAGAAGAAAGUCUGGGGAAUCUGUCUUUCAAAGCACACAGUCCAACCCAAUGAUCCAUCCAAAAUGAAACUGAUCUCCCACUGCCGAGGCGCCAUAUAAAGCUUCCUUCACCUAACAUUUUGUCCAUCCCUUCGUGUCUUCUAACUUCCACAACAUUGGGAAUUCACCACAUUGGGCCUCCAACGAUAGUUGCUAAUACCAUAUUUUUCGUCCCUAUUAUUGAUGUGGUGAUUGUCAAUUUAAUUCUUACACAUUAAAAGUACAUAAAAAUAUUUUUAAAAAAUUAAAAAUUAAAAAUUAAAAAUUAAAUUUUUUUCUUAUUUCCAAUAAAAAAUUGUAAAAGGUUUACUAAAAAUUAUGAAAUGCAUUAUUUAAAAUUUAAAAUUAAAUAAAAAAUUCAAAAAAAUAUAAAUUAUUUCAAAAAUUCAAAAAAAAAAAGUAAUAAAGUCUAGAGUUAUCCAUAAAUUGGUUUGGACAAAGGUUUUAUGUCUCAAGCUGAGACCAAACCAAAAUAGAAUUUAAGUAAUCUAAAUAUUUUUAAAUUUAAAUUUAUUACAAAAAUUAAUAUAAAAUAUAUGUUUAAUAUUUUAUUAUUUUAAACAAUAAAACAAGUUUUUUUAGACGAGCUAAACCAAAAAAAAGCUUAACUGCAAGACCUGACCAGGCCUAAUAAGAAGCUUCAAUCUUCUAUGGAUGACGACUCAACGGUUAGUAUUAUUGUGAAGGAUAUUAAGGCAAAAAGCAAUAGGUCUGAGAACUUAACUUUUCGAUUUGUACCGUGUCGAUUUAACAACUCCGCACAUGUGCUCGUUAGUAUAGGCUAGUCAUAUUCUUGUUCCACGGACUAGAUGGAGGAAACCUCGGUGGCUGUCGAAAACGCUGCGUGUUAAUAUCUAUGGUGAGUUUUCAAUAAAUUGAACAAGAACUAUAUUGAAUAUGAAGAGAAUGUAUUAAACAAGAAAGAACUCUUUUGUAUUUAGACUAUUAGCUUGAUAUGUAUAUUGCAAUCAUGGUAUUUAUAGAACAUAUGAUUAUCUGUUACUACUUAACAACUUAACUAUUUUGAAUAACAAACUAACAGUUAGGCUAGAUGAAUAACACUCUUAACAUUCACCUAUCUUCUCGACAGGUAAAACUCGGAGAAGAUCUCGAAAUCUAGCAAAAGACGAUAUAAAGAGUGGCUUGGUAAGAAUAUCAACAACCUGUUCACAGGCAGGAACGUCACCAACAAUAAUAGAUCCAUCUGCUACUUUCUCACGAACGAAAAAUAGAUCGAGCUCAAUAUGUUUGAAUUUCGAAUGUAAGACAGGAUUAGCAGCUACAACAACAACACUAGAAUUGUCACACCAAAUGGUAGGGGGAUCAAUAUUGUGAAGAUGUAACUCUUUUAGUAACGAAACUAACCAAGUAACAUCACUGGUAGCUGCAGUAAGACUCCGAUAUUCAGCCUCAGUCGUAGACCAUGAAACUGCCUAUUGUUUCUUGAAACACCAUGAGAUAGGUGUGUAACCAAAAUACACACAAAUAUCACAGGAUUCGUUUUGAAACAACCAUAUAAACAGUAGCGGGCGCAUGCAUGAACUGGCAAACACAAUUCACAGCAUUAGCAAUAUCAGGACGAGUCAAGACCACAUACUGUAAAGUACUUAGAAGACUUUUGUACUCAGUAGGGUCAUCAAGACAAUCUCCGUCAUUCUUGGACAAAGUAGACUAGCUAAUCAUUGGAGUAUGAACACUUUUUGCAUGAGUCAUAAAACUCCUAUCAAGUAAAUCGUGAAUGCACUUCCUCUGACAAAGAUGAAGGCACCCUGUGGAGGAACGAGUGACCUCAAUCCCUAAAAAAUAGUGUAGAUCUCUCAUAUCUUUAAGUGAGAAUUUGUCAUUUAACUGCUUAACAAAGCUAUUUAUACAAUCAGACAUACUGCCAGUAAUGAUAAUGUCAUCCACGUAGACAAGCACAUAAAGGAUGGAGUUAGUCGUAACUUUAACAAACAAAGAUGCAUUAGAUUUGGACAUAGUAAAGCCAACAGAAAGAAGAUAACACUUCAGUUUAUCAAACCAAGCACGCGGAGCUUGACGAAGCCCAUAUAAAGCUUUCUUCAGACGACAGACUAAAGGCCUGCCAGUUGAGCCAUAUUGAACAUACCCUGGAGGUUGUUGUAUGAAUACCUCGUCAACAAGAUCACCAUUCAAAAAUGCAUUAUUCACAUCUACCUGACGGAGUUGCCAUCACUAGAAACAACAACAGAUAAAAUGACACGAGUAGUAGCAGGUUUUAUCACGGACUGAACGUUUCUUUGAAAUCAUACCCAGGCACUUGAGAACACCCUUUAGCUACUAAGCGAGCCUUUCGACGGCCAAUUGUACCAUAAUGAUUUUUCUUAACUUUGAAAAACCAUUUACAUCCAAUUGCCUUAUGAUUAGAUGGUAAUUGAACAAGAUCGCAGGUGAAAUUAUUGAUGAGAGCAUCAUAUUCUGCCUGAGCCGCAGCUCGCCAUUCUAUGGUGGAAAGGCUUCUUCAACCAUGAGGUCUAAGAACUUCAACUGACAAUGCCUUAGGCUUAAAAAUGUCAGCCUUAGACCGAAUAACCAUCGGAUGAGUAUUUGCUGGAGGCAAAGAUGAUGACGAUGGAGAGAAAGAAGUAUUAGCAAUAGGUACAACAGCAGACGGAGUAUCAGCAUUAUUGUGUAAAGAAUGUGGCUUAUCUACCUCAACCUGAGGAUUGGUAGAGACAGAUGGCGAAAGGAAAAAACCAAGAGGUGAAGAUGAUACACGUGGUAGAACAGAUGAAGACUCCAAAUGCUGAGAAGGAACGUUGACUUAGUACCAGACGAAGCCAUGAAAUCCCUUGUAGCAGGUAAAGGAGCCAAGAACCUUUGUUCAUUAAACAUAACAUGACGAGAAAUAACAACCGUACCAUCCAGCAUAAGACAUUGAUAACCUUUGUGUUGGGAGCGAUAUCCCAAGAAUGUACAAGAUUGAGAAUGAAAAUCCAACUUAUGAGACAAAAAUGGUCGUAAGUACAGAAAACAACAACACCCAAAUACUGUCGAUGAUCAUACGUGGGAUCUUGUCCAUAAAGAGCCUUAUAAGGAGUCUGGCCAUGCAGAACUGAGGUAGGGAGACGAUUGAUGAGAUGAACAGCACAACAAAAUGCACAACGCUAAUAUUUCAUAGAAAGAUUCGCUUGAGCCAAAAGUGUAAUACCCAUUUCAACAAUAUGCGGAUGUUUGCGUUCAGCCGCCUCAUUCUGUUCAAAACUAUGUGGACAAGACAACCGAUGAACUAUCCCUUAAGUUGUUAGAAUAGACGUGAAAGUGCGAAAUUCGCCACCCCAAUCACUCUAAAAUUGUUUGGUAUUUUUCCCGUAUUGAGUUUUGACAAGCUGCUGAAACUGAGCAAAACAAUCGACUGCUUGAGACUUUUGGCGAAUAAGAUAAAUCCACGUAAAUCGAGUGCACAUCUCAACAAAGGACACAUAAUACCAAUUAUGACCACAUGCAACUGAUGCAGGCCCCCAUAGAUUAGAAACAACCAAAGCAAACGGUUCACUAUAGCUUCAUCCAGUCUGAGAGGUUGACUGGUUUCAAAAUAGGAACAGCUAUUCCGUGUCCACUAAAGUAGAAGAACAGGACAUCUCCUGGUCUAGCAGUGUGUACCAUUUCAUAAAGUGCAGCCUUGAUUUUUAUACCCGUAGGCAUAGCCAAUGAGUCUGGUAUAUAAUUGUCAAUCAAAGUUAAACCUUCUCAUAAUCAACCUUCUUAUGUUCUCCACAUCAUUUAUGCAUCCUUUCAGGUUGUAAGGGGUCUUUGGGUAAUUACAACCCACAAGAACAGCUUUCUUUUUAUGCACCAGCUUGUUAAUCAUGGGUAAGGCUAAGGGUGUUGGAAUGGUGGCCAGGAAAGCUGUACCGACAUUCUUAUCACUGCAAUAAAGGCAUAAGGGUGUUGCUCGUGAAAUCCAAGGCUGGUUAUUUCAUCCCUAGCAUUCAUCACAAGCUGUUUAUUAGUUAAUGUACCAUUGGUCUCGUUGAUAAUCUUUUGAAGUGAAUAUAUAAGGCCCCAUACGCCUUUCCUUGGGUUUUGUCACUCGGUUCCAAAUCAAGGGAUAGCUCAUCGGCUUGGCACCCACUCAAUAGAAUCCCCUCAUCCUCCGUUAAUGACCUUGGCUCCUGAGAGGGUUGGAAUUUUAAACUGACGUUGUCUCGAAAGAUUCCGGUCAAAAGAUGGCCAAUGUUGCUGACAAUAUCUAAUCCAGUGCUGAAGGCAACUGUUGUGCCCAAUACGUCUGAUGCGGCGUUUAUGACGUUGGCUGCUGGGCGUCAACAGAUGGCCUUGGUGUAUUGAUUCAAGUGAAAUUCCCCGCUUCUGGGUGUCAACAGAUUGUGCUAUACUCCUUAGAGUACUAUGGGGUCCAAUUUGUUCUUUCUCUUUGACAAUAAGACCACCGCUGUGGCACGAAUCUGAAACGAUUGUGAAGCUUGUUUCUUUUGGCAGCUGCUGAAUCAAGAGCCUGAUGUCCACAUCUGCACUGCCAUGUUUAAUUAUACUGAUUUAAAUUGCAAGAGCUAAAUAAGUUAGCUUAAUAAAUAUAUUUUAUAUUUAUAAAAAAAUGAUAUGAUUAAUAAAGGAAAAUAUGUAGUUGACGAGUUGUGAUCCCAUUUUGGAAUCAUGGAUUCAUGAUCAACAUUAAUAUAUUUUUUAAAAAUUUAAUUAUUAUUUUUUAAGAUUUAAAGUUGUAUUUAUAUUUUGACAUUUAAGGUUGAAUUUUCGAUUUGUUGAAUUUGGGUUUCGAAAACUAUGAAAUUGUGGGUUCAAACCCUACUAUGUGUACUAUAUUUCUAUUUUUUAUUCAUAAAAAGAAUAAAAAUGACAAAAAAAAUUUCUUUAAAUUAAUAUAAUUUACUUUAUAAAAUAAAAUUAUUGUGCAAAUUCCACUAUAAGACACCACUAAUUAGGAAGAAUAAAAAACCUACCAUAAAUGAGAUUGAGAUCACAAGGCACGAUCGCAUCAUCCUUCUGGCCUGGUUUCAUGUCUGCCUCAACUCCAUGUCCACUCAAGAGGAAUAAUAGGACAUCUCCUUCUUUAGCCUCUUUCACCAUUUUUGCAAGUCCAGCCAUAAUUUUAGGCACAUUUGAUAAGUUCGGUCUUGACCCGGCCCCAAAAAUUGGUCUAAAAUUUAACCUAAGCUCGACCUGAAUAAAAAUGCUAACACCUGAACCUAGCCCGACCUGCCCGUAUUAAAAAUUUUUACAUUAUUUUUUAAAAUAUAUAUAAAACACUCAAAACAUUCAAAUAAAUGUUUCCCAACAACUUGAAAAUAAAAUUUAAAAAGUAUUUAUACUUAAAUAACACUAGCAUAGGUGCAACUUAACUAAUAAAUAUUACUAAAAUAAUAACAAAAUUAACAAUAAAAUAAGAGUUAUAUAAUAUCCAAACAAUAAUAGCAAAAAUGUAGUAACAUAAUAGUGAAAUGACAGGAAAACAGUGAGAAAACAACAUAUUUUUUUUUCUUUUUGUAAAUUCGGGUUGGGCUGGGAAAAAAAACCUUACUUGAGGCCCUUAUCUAAGCCCAUUUUCGGGUCUAUAUUUUUGUUCAAUCCCUCCCACUUUUUGAGAGUCCAGCUUGAUCCAUGGACAUGUCUAUUUUUACAAGGUUACACCAAAACAGACUUUUAGCGGUGCUUGGACAAAAAAUGCCGAUAAAAAUCAAGCAUUAGCGGCACUUUAUGGAAAUCGGCACUAAAGAUCUAGCAUUGGCGGUGUUUUUCAGAAAAAUGUCACAAAAAACCGAAGCCCAACGACGUUGUUUUCUUACCUUUUUGGGCUUUAGCGGCGUUUUUGAAAAAGCGCUGCUAAUGCUCGGGAUUUAGUGGCGUUUUUGAAAUGCGCCGCUAAUGCUCGAGGUUUUAGCGACGUUUUUGAAAAAGCGCAGCUAAAAAUAUUUUAUCUUAAUUGGUUUAUUUAUAUUAAUUAAAUAAAAUUCAAUUUAUUUCUAAUUGAAUAUUUAAAAUCUUCAGAAAAAAUAAUGACAAGUAGAAAUAAUUUGAAAUAAAACACAUGGAAAAAAAUUUUAAAGUUUUUUUGGGUACAUGAUUACUGAUUGUUUUUUAAUUUAUAUAUUAAAAAAUUUCUUAUAUAAUCGUAAUCGUAAAAGAGAUAGUAUUAAUUUUAAAAUAUUGAAUUAAUUAUCACUAUAGUUUAGGGUUUUUGGUUUAGGGCAUAUGAUUUAUUUAAGAUUUAAGGCCGGUUUAAGAGUUACUAUUUUAAGGUUUAGGGAGUAUGGAUUUAGGGAUUAUGGAUUAUGGUUUAAGGGUUGAGAUUUAAGAUUUAAGGGUUAGGGGUUAGGGGUUAAGAGUUAGGGAUUUAGGGGUCGGGUUAGGGUUUUGGGUUUAGAUUAAUUAUUUUUUUAAUUUAUAUUUUAAAGAUGUUCUUAUAUAAUUAUAAAAGAGAUAAUAAUAAAUUAAAUAUAUUGAAAUUAUGAGUAUAGUUUAAAUUAUUUAAGAGAUAUAUAAUAGAUAGACUUUAUAUGUAUUGAAUAAUUAAUUUAGGGUUUAAGGUUAAUGUUUACUUGAGAUUUGUUAAAUUAUAAAAUUUUAUACAAUUAAUUAAUGCUUUUAUAUUUAAAAAAGUUUAAUCUAAACCAUUUGAUAUAUUUAAAUAUUAAUUUAAAUAGAAUUAAUAAAUAAGUUAAAAAAAUAAUAGAUUGAUAUGGAUAUUUAGGUAUUAUUAUUUAUUGUAGAGAUGACCAAAUUACAAAAUAUAAAAUUAAAAUACAAAAAUAAAAUGAUUUUUAUUCAAAAUAAAAUAAUUUUUUACAACAUUUUUAUAAAAACGCCGUAAAAGAUAAAUAAUAACGACGUUUUACUCCAAAUUUUACUUUAAAAAAUCGCGCAUUUUACCCAAAUUCCCCCCUUUAAACUUCCUGUGGCGGACAAUAUUUUCUCAGUUGCCACUCUCUAACAAACACUCUGCACUCCCAUGGCUGAUGAGACACCACAGGCCACUCCACAGCCUCUCACUCCCUUCUCCGCUGUGGUGCCCACCCCUUUCAUCGCCGUAAAAAAAAAGUUAAAAACAACAGAAUGAUGGAAUAACUAAAUCCAAAUCCCAACUUUUCUAUGUUCUUAUAGAAAAUAUUUGAUUCUCCCUCCAUCUUACAAACUUUUUAGUUCCCUUCCCAUUACAAAUCAGUUUUCCAUUCCAAACCCUAACAAAUGGCACCUUUGGACCCUCACUCCUUCACUGACUCUCCCCACCCUUUAACCACCGACAUCUCCCUUUCCCCUUUAUUAGACUUCUCUUCUGCCACCAUCUACGGCGUCGCUUUCUUCAUCCUCAAAUCCCCUCAUGUAGGUCAACUUUCUUUUGAUACCCGUUCCCUUUCCAUUCACUAAGUCCUUCCUCCUAUUACCCUUUCCCCUCUCCCUUUCUCUCUUUCCUCUUCACCUGACCCUAUCAAAGGAAACCAGCUUUCCAUCUCGCUACCAGACGAUGACGUUUUGAACUCCUUCUUCAUCGUUUUCUCUACUUCCCCUUCUUCUUCUGCUCUCCAAUGGCUAUCCCCGCUGCAAACGUUUAACAAAAAAACACCCUUUUGUUUAUACCCAAUGCCAGUGUAUCCACGCGCGUUCCAUUUUCCCAUGUCAAGACACUCCCGCGGCGAGAAUUCGUUGCUCUGCUUUGCUCAAUGUAUCUCAGAAGUUAUCCGCCGUUAUGUCCGCCCGCCAUGUCGAUAGGAGGUCACCGGUUUCUGGUGAAGGACAUUCGCAUUUGCUGCCUGACGGGUUUAAUUCGUUGUGGUUCUUCUGCCUUUUUGCGCCUCUCCCUUUUUUUUUGGCUUUCUUGGUUCUCAGUUUCUCAAUUCUAUCCACAGUUGUAUGGGGAAACCAAAGCACUACCGACCGCCGGCAAGUUCUUUCGAACUUUAUUGCUUUCAAAUUGGCGAUUUAAAUUUUAAAAGUUGACUUAUUGUAAGGACUUUUUUCUCAUAAUUUAUGGUGAAAUUUUACAGGGAAAGAAAAAGGAAGGAAAUGCUGCGAGAUAUGUGACGAGGUCACAAGCUAUUAAAAUCCUUCAAGUUAGCCUUUCAGAUUUCAGGUUCAUCUCUUCUUUCUCACUUUUAUUAAUUUUUAUUAUAAUUUAAGCUUCCUUUAUUUGCCUUCUUUUGUCAUUUUUUUUCAUGUUGUUUUUAGCUUCGAAGAUUAAUUAGCUAAGAAUUUGAAACUAUUGAGCUUCGUUAAGCUGAGAUUAGUUCAUCAAGUAGCAGUUAGUUGCUACUUUUGCUCACUGAAGCAAAGAGAAGAAGUGUGUGUGGAAAAUAUUCUUAUUGCUAGCUUUUUACUUCAGCAUGAGUUUAUGACUAUGUUCAUUUUAUGUUAUAUUUUAAAGCUAUUUGUUUUUUUUAUUUGAUAUGAUUUUGCUAUUAUUAUUAUUAUCAUAAAAAAUCGAGGAUUUUAAUAAGAAAACAUAAAAAAAGCCUCAACCAAAUGAAACGCGUAUUGAUGGGGUUUGUUAUUUUUUAUUAAAUAUGGUUGGCUUCCUUUUGCUUUAAUGGAUUUAAUACUGCAGGAAACUAUGCAUCCACAAAGGAGUAUUUCCGAGAGAGCCAAAAAAGAAAGUGAAAGGAAAUCAUCAUACUUACUAUCACUUGAAGGAUGUCAUGUACAUUCUUCAUGAUCCAUUACUUGAGAAGUUUAGAGAAAUAAGGGCAUAUCAAAGGAAGAUAAAGAAAGCUAAGGCUAAAAAGAAUGAUGAGUUAGCAAAGCUUCUUAUAUCUCGUGCACCUUCUUACAGACUUGAUAUGGUCAUCCGUGAUAGGUUUGUGAAACAAUCUUUGUAUGUUUUAUUUCCUCUCGUUGCUAGUUGUAUGAAUUCUGUAAAACUUUUAUAGUAAAACUUUUGUAGUAAGCAGCAACAUAACUAAAUCACCAUAUGCUGAUAAUGAGAAGAUUUAUUGUUCCUAUUCCCUUGGCUCCAAUUUUUUUGGUUCAAAACUUGAUGUCUAAGUGCAUGCUUGAGUAUUUGGCAAUCAAUCCUGUGAAAUAGUUUCUAGUUAAGGUGGCAUAGAAGCAUAUAGUCCAGGCAUAAUCUGUUCUUAAAAUUUAUGAUUGUUUUUUGGUUUCUCCUCUCCACAAACUGUCUAAUGUAUUUGGCAGAAUGAGAUGAUGCUAUUUAUGCCUAUACAUGCAUUUCUCUCUGUGGAUGGGUAACCUAUAUCUUUGAUUUGAGGCAUAGUUUGAUGACAGCAUAACUUAUUGCUGAAGUUAUACAGCCACGUUGUUUGCAUGCUGAUGACCAGUUCUGACAUUUAAGAUUUCAGAAUUGAGAUGGAUUUCCAGCCUGGAGGAUGUAUAGAGCCUGGAGAAGGUUAUGAUAAAUACUGUGCUUAUUAUUGCACUUAUAUUAAAUAUUGUACCCUUCUUUGCGAAAUUGUUGUCUUUUGAAAUAUCUUUAAGAUUAAGGAACUAUACUAAAUGCGGUCACAAAACUUAUGGAGGGCAGUUAUACUUUUUGCUUUCAUUAAUGAAUAGCUUUCUUGUCUUUAUCUGCCCUUAUCAAAUAAGAUUUUAUUAGUUAAGGGAUGUUUUCUGGAUCAGCCUUCAAUUGAUACUGUAAACAAUUUUCUUAUGUAAUUCUAAUAUAGAAUGUAUCUUGUUUUAAUAGCUCUAAUGCAUGGCUAUAAGGAGUCAUUAGCAUUUUUAUUAAGUUGUUUGGAUUUGCAGGGGAAAAAUGAAUUGCAAGUUUAUUUCAGCUUCUCAGUAACUUACCUUGUUUGCCCUAAAAAGUUGUGGUAUUUAAUACAACAAAAGUUAGUAUUAAAUAUCCAUAUACUUUUAGCUACAGUUUUUGAAUAUGCAAAAAAUGCAUCGAUAAUAAUGAAAUAAGAUGGAUGAAUAGAUAAUAUGGAUUAUUGCUUGCAACUUCCUUUCUUUUUUUUCUUUUUUUUGGAAAUAUGCAACUUCCUUUCUUGGUUGUCUUUAGUUGGCAAUAAAGUUUGCUUUAUUUAUAUUGCAAUGUUAAUUACUCUUUUAUCUCAAACCUACUUCAUUGCUCAGAGAAUGCAUAUUCUUCUACAUCUGACAUGAUGGCCUUUUUAUCAUUACAUGUUAAGCCUUUUCUACAUCUGACAUGAUGGCACAUGUAGGGAGAUUGAAAAUGAGUAUUUAGGUCUGAGAAAUGGCAUACUGGAUCAAUCAGCCAUACUGCUUUCAAGCCAUGGUUGUCUAACUUGCAUGAACUGCAAAGUAAGUCAAACUUUUUGUAGUAAUUUCAGGAAUAACAUAUCCUUCUUUGUUUUGAAGUGUUCGAUCUAUUUUUGUUAGCUUGGCACUGCUUAUGCUUAAUUUAGUCUUCAUACAAUUGCUAUAAUUGGUUAUCAGCCAGAUUUAUGAUUGUUUUCCACUGACUCAUUUAUGAUUGUUUUCUAUUUUUAUUGAUUUAUGUAAUCAAUCUCAAUUUUGCUUUUUGCAAAUUAAUACUAUUGUUCCUUGUUAAAAAAUUGAAUAGUUUAGACAAUCAUUAGAAAGAAUGCCUAUUUAUAACACAUGGAAGUGCUAUGAUUGAGAUUGUUUGUUAGUAUGGUUCAACCUGCUACUAAAGUUGUACAUAAUUGUUUGUUAUAUAAUUUUUAUUUUUAACAUCUCUGUUGUUUACCAAGUUUGUUGGUUUAUCUGAUCAUUUGGUUUUGCAUCCUUUAGAUAUUGAAGGUGUUGUAGAGGAUUCAAUCUCUUCAAGCUAGAAAAGCCAAGGCUUAGCACUUCUUCAAGUGGUGGUCGUUUAUCUUAGUCGGAACUUAAAUUUGGUGUUAUUGAAACAGGGUUUUGUAGCUACCUUGUGUACUAGCUUCUUUAACCAUGAUUGUUAAUUAUUACGUGUUUUGUAGCUUCUUUUAUAUUUGGCCGAGUUAAUAUAGAUCAGAUGAGCUGUGAGGUAGAUUGCUCAUUUAUUUAAACAUAAUAUUUUAAUUCUAAAUUUAAAUUCAUUAAUUUUUAUAUUUAGCUUUAAAGUUCAAAUUUUAAUAGUAAUUUUAAUUUAAUAAAAUUUUUUAUCCUAUAUAGUUUAAAGUUUAAAUUUCAAAAAUAAAAUAAAAUAAAAUAUUUAUCAUAGAAAUAAAUAUUAUUUAAUUAAAAUAUAUUUUUAAAAGUCAUGUUUUUAGUGGCGUUUGUGAAAAAACGUCGUUAAAAGUUAUUCUUUAUAGUGGUAGAAGUGUCAUUAAAUGUCAUGAUUUUUAGCGGUGUUUGUGGUAGAAGUGUCACUAAAGGUCAUGAUCUUUAGCGACGUUUGUGAUAAAAGCGUCGCUAAAGAUCAUGAUCUUUAGCGGUGUCUAUGGUAGAAGAGUCACUAAAGGUCAUGAUCUUUAGCGGCAUUUUUUCACAUAAAUGCCGCUAAAAUUAGCGACGUUGUCUAUAGAGGAACUUUUUGCGGCCUUUGUUAAAGCGCCGCUAAUACUUUUAGCGGCGUUCUAAAAGCCUAAAAAAGUGCCGCUAAAGUCUAUUUUGCUGUAGUGAUUGAUAGUUAAAUUUGAUUUUUUUUAAAGAUUAAAAGACGAAAUUUAACUAAAAAGGACCAAAUUAAUAAAUGAUAUAAUGAUUGCCUAUUUUUAUUUGCUUCUUUUGGUGUUCAAGAAUAAUACAUAUUAUACAUAUACAUGGAUAGAGCAAAUCACGUGCACCAUUCAAAAAAUUGGGUUUACAUGUACUAUUAGUUAAUUAGAUGACUCACUUCAAUAAAAAAUAAAAUUAUUUGGUUCAUAAAAAAAUGUAUUUUUUUAAAACUAGAAGUUACAAUAUUAACGAAACAUUACAUUCAUUCUUUACUCAAUAAUUAAUUAAAAUAUUAAAUUAAUAAUCAAAAUAUAUCUAAAUUCGUAAUAGAAUGUUUCAUACAUAAGUUACUCAAUCACUAUAUUGCAUUGUUUAAUCGUCCAAACAAGUUUUAACUUUCGUUGUAACAACUCAAAAGAAUAAUUACAAACGAAUGUAUUUUUAGACUAAAAUGUAGAACUAAGGCUUAGUUUAGAUGAGCAGUGCAUUUACCUAUAGUUAGUGUAAAAACAACGGUGAUGGUGAGAUUAGAUACUGUAACGAUAUUGUAAUGUGAGACAAAAAUAAACUAAACGCAUCGUGUACAAGCCCAAUUUAUGCCCGAGGCCCCAAAACCAAACCUAAACCCAAAACCCUUACCCAUUAACUCGAACCAAGCCUAAUACCCCAAAUUAGGCCCAAACCCGAAACCCAACUAGUCAGACUAGGGUUUCAGAUACUGAAACCCUAGCACCACUUUUCUCACCUCAGCUCUCUGCCCUCCUGGCCGUAACCUACUUCUUUUGCUCUUCUGCCGUCGCCGCACCCUAGCCUCCAGACCUGGCGCCGUCCAUCAAUCUCCUGCAAAGAAGAAAAUCACGCAAAGAACUGUGGCAAACAGAGAAAAAGAAAAAGAAAACUAAAAUUGUAACAACCCGGUUUGACUCUAAUCGGAAUAGUGGUUUCGGGACCACACAUCCGAGUCUGAAAAAUAUUUUAGUAUUUUAUUUGGUGUUUAUUAUGUGUGAAUUUGCAUGUGUGAAAGUUUCAUGAAUUAAUAUUAUGGUUUGAGUGCUUAAUUAAAGAAAAAUGACUUAAUCGUGUAAAAAAAAUAAAAAGGCUAGUUAAUGUGUAAAGUUUUAAAUUGCUAAUGUCUUUUUAAUAUGGAGUCCUUAAUAGGUUAUUAGCCCACUAUUAAGUAAGUGGGUGGUAUUGGUCAAGAAUGACCCUGUUUUAUAAGGUAUAUAAAUUUAUAAACAAAGGUUAAAUAAGUAAACUAGUAAUAUGUUAAUAUAUGUUAAAUUAUAUCAAAAUAUAAUUCAUUAUUCUUCAUCUCCUUAUGACCGAAACUAAAGAAAACAAAAAGAGAAAAACAUAAGCUAGGUUCGGCCAAUUUACAAGCUUAAUUCAAGGUUAGUUUUGUUUUGAUUUUUAAUAAUUUUUACGUUUUUGAGAUCGUUGCUUUGUGUUCUUCAAAACCCAUGUUUUAAUUUUGUGAAUUGUUGAUGAUUUUGAAAUGUGCCAUUGAUGAAUGCUUGGACUUUUUGAUAGUUGAUGAUGAAAAAUGAAAGAUAUGUGAUAGAUUGAUAUGUUUUGUAUUGGAAUUUUUAGUGAAAUUGGGUAAAUAGGGCUAAAUUGUGAAAUUAAAUUUUUGGGGGACUAAAAUGUGAAAUAAAUGCAAUGUGUGGACUUGUAUGAGAACCAUGAAUAUUCGGCCCUUGUGUGGUAUGGGAAAAUUUUGUGUAAAUUGUGUUUUAUGCAAUAGGGAGUAAAUUGCAAAAAAGUAUAAAUAUUAGGGGCAAAAUAGUAAUUUUCCAAAUUAUGUGUUUUUGGACUAAAUUGAAUGUGUUAAUAAAUAAAUUAUCUUAUUUUUAAUAUAUUUAGAUCGAGAACCAAAGAAAUCGGAGUUAGAUCGGGGAAAAGCCAAAUUAGUCGAAUAAUCGUCCGACUUCGAUUUUCCAUCGUCCGAGGUAAGUCUAUUAGCAAUUAAAAGUUAUUAAGUUAACAUUUAUACAUGUAUACUAAUUGUAUUUUAUGUUGAGCUAUAAUUAAAAGUAUAUUGAUUGAAUAAAUUUUGAAGUAUGGAUGAUAUUUACAUAUAUAGCAUGUUCGAAUAUACAAGUAUAAUCUUGUAUAGAUUUAUGGUUUGAAAUAAAGGUAAGAAAUGUAUAAGAGUAUAGUUGAUAUUCGAAUAAGCAUGUAUAUAUAUAUAUGUAUAUAUAUAAUGCUAGAAUAUAUAUAUAUAAGUUAUUGAAAUUAGUUAAAGUAUGAAUGUUGCAUAGGUAUAAAUUCUUGAUUUUAAUUAAAGGAAUGUAUAAUAUAUAUAUAUAUGGUGCGAAUAUAUAUAUGUAGGUAUAUAUAUGUAUAAACACUUGGAUUUAUUUAAAGUUAUGUAACCCAUGAUUGUAUGAGAAGUUUUGAAUAGAUAUGUAUAUGUGAAUUGUAAUUUAUAUGUAUAUGCUAUAUUUGAAUAAGCAUGCUUACAUAUAUGUAUAUGUUCUUGUAAUGGAUUUUAAGUAUGAGUGUUAUAUAUAUAUGCAUAAAUGAAGUUCGAAUAUGUACAUAUAUAUAUAUAUAUAUAUAUAUAUAUAAAUGUACAUCUAUUGUAUAUUUGACGAGCUAAAAUUAAAAGUAUAUGUAUUGAAAAUUAGUUGAGUAUGAAUGUUAUAUAUAUGCAUAUGUGUGAGGUUCGAAUAUAUAGUUAAGUAUAUAUAUAUGUACAGGUAUAAUUUCUUGUAUUGAAAUUAGGUAUGGAAUUAUAUAUUGAUAUACAUGGUUGAAUGUAUAUGUAUAUAUAUGUUUAAGAUUUGCAUUGAAAUUAAAGUAUAAAUUUUAAAUGCUUGUAUGAUUCGAACAUGGACUACAAAUUUUCUUGGGAUAGAGUUGAGAUUGUGAAUUUUUUUUCAGACUUUAAGUCUAGCAGGCUAAUUGCCGGUGAUCUGAAUCAGGUUAUAAACCUAGCAGGCUACGUGCCGGUGAUCUGAAUCAGGUUAUAAACCUAGCAGGCUACGUGCCGGUGAUCUGAAUCAGGUUAUAAACCUAGCAGGCUACGUGCCGGUGAUCUGAAUCAGGCUAUAAGCCUAGCAGGCUAUGUGCCGUUGAAUCGGUUUAAUUAAGUGAUUGUAUACAUUGAAUAUAUAUGUAUAUGAUUUGGUUAUUUGUAUUGGAUUAAUAUAUGAACAUCUGUUGCUAUGUUUUUGAUGAGCAUAUAAAAGCUCGAAUCUUUGUGUCUGGUGAGUAUUAGAGGUGUUCAUGGGCCGGGCCCAUAGAAAAUUUUCACCCGCAUACUAGGCCCGGGCCUGACCCGGCCCGAAAUAUGAGCCUGAAAUUUUGUCUAGGCUCGGCCCGGGAAAAAAUUCUUAGGCCCAAGCCCGGCCCGACCCGUUUUUUUAAAAAUAAACACCAUUUUUAAAAAAAAAUUAAAAAAAGUAUUUUAAAAAUAUAAAAAAUAUUUUUUAUUAUAUAUUCGGGCCGGGCCCGGGCCAAAAAAGUCUUGCCGGAGGCCCGGCCCGUUUUUUAAAUGAGCCUCGUUUUUUUGCCCAAACCCAUAUUUCGGGCCUAUAUUUUUACCUGAACCCUCCCAUAUUUCGGGCGGGCCGUCGGGCCAGGCCGGGCCGCCCGGCCCAUGAACACCUCUAGUGAGUAUAUAUAUAUCUAUGCGUUUGGCAUAUGUGAACUAAAGUAUAUAUAUAUGUGCAUUCGGCACAUGUGGUUGAUAAGUAUAUUUGGAAUUUAUAUAUAUGAUUAAUGAUUAUGUAUAUAACUUGAUUUUUAAGUAUAUAAUGAUAAUACAUAUGAUCGUUUAUAUAUAUUUUGGAUAUGCUAUAAACUUACUGAGCUAUAGAAGCUUACUUUGAUUGUUUUUGUUUAUUUGUUUAUAGAUUUUGGAGACGCGUUACGAGCUCGGGGAUCAUCAGCAUAGUCCAUCACACUAUCGACUUCUUUUGGUAUUUUGUUAACAGUUUGAACUUGAUCUUAUGGCAUGUAUAGGUUUGAGUAUGAUUUUGGUUAGAUUUGGAUUGAAUAAUAUAAUUAGCCAUGUGAAUAUGGUUUAAUUUCUACUUUUGUGAUCAAUUUGGUUUUUUUUUUAAAAAUGGUUGUGUUUGUUCUGUAAUGCCUCGUAACCCUAAUUCGACGACGGAUAUGGGUUAGGGGUGUUACAAAAAUAGCAUGUAAAAUUGGCUAUAAAGCCAAGUAUCAUCUCUGUAAUAGGGGUUCCCCACCCUUUUCUUCACGAUUUCAAGAAAUAAAAAGAAAAAAAAAAGGGAUUCAAGGAUUCUUUUCUUCUUUUCGGCAUAAGAUCUAUUUUUCUUUUUUUAUUUAUUUUUAUUUUUCUCUUUAUUUUCCUUCCUUUUGAAAUUGUUUAUAUACAUACAUAUAUUUCUUUAGUUUUCUUUUUUAACUAUUUAUACACAUAUAUAUUGAAAAAAAGUUUAAAAAAGAGAGAGAAACUUACCUUCCUUUGGAUCGCCUGAAAGAGAGGGAUUUUCGACCUUCCGGCCGCCGCAUACGGCAGCGCCGGUGCCGGCACAGAUGGCCGUCGCGACGGUGAUUGGCCGAAUUUUGGCCGGACCCUGGCCGGAAAGGGAGAGAGGGGAGAGAGCUGUUGAAAGGUUUUUGGAGUUUUUUUUUUAAAAAGAAGGUUAAAAAUGAAUUUUUUGUCUGAUUUUUAGCUUAUAUAGGCCCAUUAAACGGCGUCGUUUUGGGCUUAAACAUCAAUGGCCAAAACGGCGCUGUUUUGCCUUAGACCAGCGCGCGACCCGACCCUCUCCAGGGAGGAUCAACGCGUUUUCGCAGAAUGGGUUAUUUGCAACCCUGGUCCUUUUGCGUUUAUGCUUCUUUUAAUUUACUCCCUUUUUGUUCAUUUUUGUUUUUUUUAAAUUUGGCCCCAGAAUUUUGUUUGGUUCUCGAUUAGGUCCCUGACCCACCAACGCGCUGAAAAUGGACAUGUGGCCUGGAAUUUGGGUUUAUUACCCAUUCGGCACUCCUCCCUUUCACGCUUUUCAGUUUGGUCCUUCUGUAUUUAUUUUUAUUUCUGUUUUGACCUUUAAAUUUUAUUUUUAUCCCUAAUUAGUCCAUCUUUGUUUAUUUUGUUAUAUUAUUAAUUAAUCUACUUAUUAUCUUAUUUAUAUUUUCUUUUUAUAUUUAUCUAUUCAUUAUUAUAUUAUAUUAUUAGUUUUGUAUUAUUAUUAUAAUCAUUAUCAUUAUCAUUAUUAUUAUUAUUUACUCAUUUAUACCUUUAGUUCAAAAUUAUACAUUUUUCUAAUAUAUAUGUAUAUACAUAUUUAUACAUAUUCUUUAUAUUUUAAAAUCUAUUUCUUCUUAUGUACUUUCUAUAUUUUAUAAUACAUAUAUAAAUAUAUUUUUAAUAUAUAUAUAUAUAUCAAUAUACAUUUUUAAUUUUUAUAAAUACACAUAUAUAUGCCUACAAUUACGCUUUUAUAUAUAUUACAAUUUAUAUACGUAUAUAUAUAUAUUUAUAUAUAUAUCCACAUACAUAUUUUAUACUUCAUAAUUUUAAUACACAUAUAUAACUUUAUAUUUUUAUAAAUUUUAUUCAUCUCUUUUAUUUAUUUAUUUAUUUAUUUUUCAUUAUUUUAAAAGAACAUUUUAACUUUACUUGCUUAUUAUAUUUGUUUUCGCAUGUUAUUAAUUUGUCCUUUUUUAUAUUCAUUCAUUUUUAUUGCUCCUAUUUUUAUACUAUUAUAUUCAAUAUCGCUUUGUAUGUGUAAUUAACCUCGUGUUUCAUUUCUACUAUUUCAAGUUAGAUUAAUUUAUCUCGACGCACAAGUUUCAACUUUCAAAUAAGCAAAAUUUCAUAUUUAGAUUUGAGAGGAUUGAGUCCUACCAUUAGGUUCCAAUUUUCUUCAUUGAAUCUAAAUAAUGGAGAAUGCUCUUUGAUAAAAAAAAACAUAAAUAGAAAGCUCAUUAUCGGGAAUUUAAUAUGUUGUAUCCUAAUACAUUGGAUAUGACACGUUUUCUCGAGACGAGGAUUUUUCUAAAAAAUAAUAAAGGCAAUAUUCAAUGUUUAGAAUUUUGAGAAAUUGUACCCUAACGUAUUGGGUUGCGAUUUUUUCAUCUAACUUAAACAAUUAGAUAUCCUUUUAAAUUUCAUUGCACAAGUUUUUUUGGACAAGCUCAUUUUUGAGGAAGUAAAAUAUCAUGCCCUAACUCAUUAGGUGUGACAUUUUCUCUCUUCGAAAUGAGAGGCUCUUAAUGGGUAAUUUGAUUUAUACAUUUCAAUAAAGGAUCGUACUUUAAAUCUCCGUAAAGUUUCUAAUUCUCGACACUAAGACACUAAAUAAUCAACUAGGUACCAAUUUUGGGCGUUACGAGGGUGCUAAUCCUUCCUUAUACGUAACCGACUCUUGAACCUAUUUUUUCUGAAUUUCGUGGACCAAAAUCGCUGUUUUAAUAAAAUCAAAUCGUUUAUUAAAAACAACCACUUCUCGAGGUGAUCCGAUCACACCUCAUCAAAAAGGAUUGGUGGGGACUCCCACUUUCGUUUUCAUUUUUUAAAUCCAAGUUGACCCCGUUUUAUCAAAAAAAUAGUGUUAACACACCGUACCACACUCAACCACCCAUCCAAACCUCACCUAAAAGUUGCUAGAGUUUCCUUCCUACCAUUAAACCAAUGUAUCAUCAACUAUUUGUACUUAUGUUUAAACACUUUAAUGGAGUUGCAUGAAAUGCAUGAUUGACUACGUGUAAAUUUAUACACAAAAAAAAACAAUAAUUUGAAAAGCUUUCCAUAGUACAAUUUUGAUAUAUUUGGCCUCUAAUAAGAAAUCAACAUAUGGAGUGGGUGAUUAAUCCGAAUCGGGGUGAGGACAGGUGUUGUGAUGGACAAAGCGUAAGACAAGGUGGUUCUCGACAGAAGCAAGAAAGCUCUGACAAAAGACAGCUAGGUAUUCCUUUUGCAGACAAAUUAAGAAGACAAAAGAUAGAAAAUAUAGGGUGGUGGUCGAAGAUAAAUGAUUAUAACAGCACUGAUAUGAUCUGCUUCGCCUUCGUCCACCACCUCAUCUUUAUGUUUAUAUCUUGGUCGUGACUCACGUUGGCCUUCGUCUGCAAGUGCUGUCGGUCCUACUAUUGUGCUUGUGUUUCCUAGCUUUGAUUUCUAUGUAUUAGGGUCUGGGGUGAAGUUAGAAAAAUAUUUUUAAGAAUUGAAGUUAAAUUAUAUAUUUUUAUAAGAGUUAAAAUGUAAUUUCAUAAUUAUAUUAGUUUAUGUUUUUAUAGUUUUUAGAGGUCUUAAAUUAAAAUCUUAUCAUUUUUUUUUGGAUAAAUUGUGAUUUUACAAUGUUUAACUUAUAAUUUUAUAGAUUUUAGAAAGGCCCAAAUAACAAUUUUUCAUUUUAGUGGUCUAAAAAGUAAUUUUCAUUUUAAGGAGGCCACUCCCCUUGCUCCAGUCACCGCCUUUACGACGAGAUUAAUUAUAGUGAGAUUGAAAAUAGAUGUGAUAGUGAGAUUAACUAUUAUGGUGAUGAGAAUAAAAUCACUGGUGAGACGUGUCUUAGGAUUUAAACAUAUAGAUUGUAGAUUUAUAGUAAGAGAGCAAAAUGACCAUUAUGAACAUUAAACUAAAAUUAAACUAAAUUAGUUUGCACCCUUCCGUAUCUUUUUUAUAAUUAAUAUUUUAACGAUAAAAACAUUAUAUUUCAUAUUUCAUUUAUAUAAAUUAUGCAUGUCAAAUUUGACGUAAAUUAAAAAUUUCUAACUAUUUGUUUUAUGUAAAAAUACUUUUAACUGUUUAAUAAAUGUUAAUAUAUACAAUAUUUUAGAUCGAUAAGAUAGAAAUAUCAAAUCAAUUUGAAAAUUUGCAUGCAUGAAUCAUACAAUAAUUUUGAUAAAUUCAAUGGUUGGAUUGUUAAAUUAAUAAUCAUAUAAAAAUAUAUGGAAGGAUGUAAAAUUACUUUAGUUUCACACUAGUGUAAGCGGAUCUCUCCCAUUUUAAUAUAUAAAGUUAAUUAUAUAAUUUAAAAUUAUGUAAUUAAUAUUAUUUAUAAAUAUAAGUAUAAAUAUAUUUCUUUAUAUGCCUAACUAAUGUAAAGAAAAUCCACAAAGAAGCUAUUUGUUGAGGGGAGGUCGGACUCUCUUUUGGGAGAAGUCUUCUAAGUGUCAUCUAUUUGGGAGUUGAUGGACCCCUCAAUAAGAGGUAUUUUUCUCGUGUUGGGGUUUCUUCCCUGGCCUUCACAAAGAGCAGCUAUACGAUUCUCAAAAGGGGGCUCGAUUGGUGGAGAUAGGUACAAUGGCUCUUUGCGAAGGUUGAGGGAAAAACCUUGACACGAUGACAAUACAUUUUGUUGAGGAUUCUGUUGACUCUCAAGCGGGCAAUACUUCGAAGACUUCUCCUAAGAGAAAAUCUAACCUCCCCUCAACACUAUUCACAUACACUUAUCCCAAACCAACAACCAAAUAUCACUACAACCACAAUCAAUCAUACAAAAAUGCCAAAUAAUCCCAAAUAAAAGAAGGAAGAAAGUCUCCUAUGUUAGCAUCCUCAAAUAGGACUUAUAGAAUUAAAAAAAAAAGAAUGAAAAUAUAUAAUAAAAAAAAUGAGACAUAAACGUACUGGAUUCAGUUAGGAGUUAGUCGGAGAGUUUUGGGCGUGGAGGCUCAAACAAAAGGUCGAGGAGAAAGUCUUAUUAAGAAGAUGAACAUAUUGGACUCAAGUGACCAUCCGAUGAUGGCAAACAAAGAUCAAAUAGCUUCCUUGUUAGAUUUUUAAGUUUGAAUCAACGAAGUUUCAGGCCAUUUUAAGGAAAAUUAAAUCAUAAAGUUGAAAGAGGAAGGAUAGAGCUAUACUUUUAUGUGUUUCUUUGGUAAAGGAGGAGGUUGGACAAUGGUGAGAUUGCUGGAAUACAAUAGUGAAAGAGGUUCCUAAAACUCUAAAACUUUUGAAUAGUUUAGUGACCAACUUAUAACUCUUCUGAAAUUAAGUGACCAAAGUGUAAACUUAUUAAUAUUUAAGUGACCUUGGGUGUAGUUUACCCCAUGAUGAAUAGUGAGUUAACGAUCAUGUCAGACAAACAUUAGCAACCUAAUGGUUCAAUGACUUAAAUGAUAGAUUUUGAAUAGUUAAAUGACUAAUUUAUAACUUUUUAAAUUACUAAUAGCCGAGUAAACUUGAAUGUAAUUUACCCUCUCUUGUUUGACUUAAAAAAUCAAAUACAAGAUGGACUUUUCCAUAAUAGGCCGACACCAACAAUGUGGAAAUAGCACGGUCCAUACCUAUAAUUGUUGAUAUCGAAGGAAGAAGACUUCAAUGACUAAAUGACAUGAAUAUAAUGUAGAAAAAGUUAUGGAAGAAAGAGUCCACGAACCCCCUUCUUUUUUGCCUCUAGAUUUGUAAGUUUGUGAAGAAAAACUAGUGAUAGUCUUUUUGUCCCUAUAUCUAGUAAACUACCCAUAAAAAUUAUCUCUUGAGUAGAAAGGGAUGACUUGGGAAAAAUUAAACAAAAUUUAUAAUUUUUUGGGAUAAAUUUUAAAAUUAUAUAAACAUUUAUUUAACGUGUAAUUUAAUACGUAAAUUUUAAUUUUAUGUAAUUAUAUAUACGAUCCCUUGUAAAAUGAGAAUUCAGAUGAAUUUAUGAAUUUACGUAUCAAAUUCAUUUUGGGGCUGGAAGCGCCCUUGUAAAUUUUACUUUUGCUCUUAAAAAAUGAUAAAAUUUUAAUUAAUCUUUUAAAAAUUAAAAAAAAGAUAUAAUUUAUUAAAAUGAUAAGAUUUCAUUUUAACUCUCCUAAAGAAUAUGUAAUUCAAUUAUGACUUUUUUAAACAAUAAAUUUUUGACUUCAUCCUUAUUCGAACUUCAAAAAUUACUCGAGAAAAAAAGUUUUGCUGAAUAAGGCAACAAACCAAAGGGAAACGAGAUUCACGAGGGGAUGAAGACGAAAUACAAAACCAAAGGGAUAACCAAAGGAGAAAAGUUGUAUAAAAUAUAUGUGGUAGCGGGGAAGAGAUGCCAAGGGGUUAAUUUAUAUUUUGUUAUUCAAUAUAUAUAUUUAAUUCUUUCACUAUUUAUUGCUAUACAAAUAUUAGAUUUAUUUAAAAAUUAUGCUAUUUAUUUGUCGGAUUAAUCGUAUUUCUGGCCAGAGCAUUGAACCUAUUUGAAGUGGUUUAUAUUGUCCUAAAAAAUUCCAUGUACAAACAAUAAUUAAUUUUACUUCCCCACCUAACUACUCUUGGCUGGGGUAGGUUCUGGCAGAGAAGUUAUAGACACAUUUUCAUACUUUGGGUUUGGAAUACUUUACUUAAUUUCCUUUGCUGUAUUGAGUUUUGGCAAUAUUUAUCAUGCACUUUGAGACCUAAAACUCUUGAAUAAUCUUUUUCAUUUUUCGGUUAUGUAUAGAAAGAUAGAAAUAAAAUGACCAUAAUUUUGGAUAUUCACUUCAUUUUGCUUGAUACAGGUUCUGUUUUUCUAGUAUACAAUAUCUGAGCUUAGUUCAAAUUUAAAUAAAAUAAUUUAAUAUUUUGAAUUAAACCAAACUUAAACAAACCUAUUGAUACUAAAUAUAAAUCUAACAUAAACCUAGCGGCCCAUGAGUGCUUUACAUACUAAUAAAAUCAACUAAUAUUUUAUAAAUACUAUUAAAUAUAUAUUAUCAGGUAAUAUAAAUGUUGAUCAAAUAACAAAAAAAUUCAUGUAUAUUCUUUACAUAAAGUUAGAAUCUUUUGCGCACUGUCUUAAAUCUAUUGACAUCGGUAUUAUUGUUAGUGCAGGAGAAUAUGUGUUCGAGUACACUGAGACAUAUUAUCCUCUUAUUUAAAGGUUGAGAAGAAAUUAUAAAUAAUUCUAAUUACUAUUUCAAAUUUUAUUAUAAUGGAUGAAUGGUUGUCUUAGAUCACAAGCUAAAUUUUGGGUUUUAUUUAAUAUUGGGCUAUUUGGUUUAUAAGACUCUUCGACCUCUUUUUUUUUUUUUUUUAAGAAUACAAACAAAUUGAGCUUAUUUUUUUUAUUUAUUUUUAAGUAUAUUUAUAUAAUAUUAAAUAUAUAAAUAUGUUUUAUUAUUUUGUUAUUAAAUAUUACAAAAAUUUACAAAUAAAUCAACAAAUUACAAAAAAACCCUAAGUUUUACAGAUUUUACGGUUUGAUCCUUAUGUUCUGAAAUAUUAACUGUUUAAGUGAUGAAUGAAUAUUUGUUACACGUUUUAAGCUUUUAUUUAUUAAAAUUUGCUUUAUUUCUAUGGAUUUUUAAUUAAAUUUGAGGACAAUGCAUAAUAUUAAAUUUAGCUCUUAACAUUUACAUAUUUUAUCAAUUUGGCUUUUGUUAUUUUUUUAGACAAAUUUUGGCCUUCAACCUUUUAGAAAAGAGUUAAAAUGAUGUUUUUGUUAUUAAAUGAUGUUUUUUUAGAAAAAUCCUCAAUAAUCUCUAAUUUCUAGGGAUUAUUUACCAAAAAAACUCAACAAUCCCUCCCUUAAACUGAAAGUACAAUGAACUUUCAGUUUAAUAAAUACUUACUACUCAAUGUCAAAGACCAAGUAUUUUCCUGAACUUGACAAAUGAUGCCAACUUGAGAGGCUUAGUAAAUACAUCAACAACUUAAUUUUCACUUCUGUAAUACUUUAGCUUAAUUGCUCUUUCAUUGCUGAAAUAUGACAGAAAGUAAUAUUUUACAUCAAUAUUCUUGCUUCUUCCAUGCAACACAAGAUUUUUUGACAACUUGAUGGCUGAGUUGUUAUCACAAAAAAAUAUAGCGGCUCUUUUUGGCUUGAAUUGUAGUUGUUCAAGGAUUCUCCUAAGCCAAAUAGCUUGACAAGCACAAGCUGUAGUGUCAAAAAAUAUGACAAUGGAUUGUUUCUUAGAUGAUCACGAAAUAGCUCCUGUUUUAAGCAUAAAAACAUAACCUAAAAUGCUCAUUCUAUCAUCUUGAUCUCUUGCAUAAUCACUACCAGUGAAGCCAAUCAUGUUUGUCACCCUUUUUGUAGAAAAUCCAAAAUCUUUGGUUCUUUAUAAGUAACGAAGGAUUCUCUUAGCAGCUAAUAAAUGUUUUUCAAUCGGGCUCUUCAUGUACCUGCUAAUAAGACUCAUAGAAUACUAAUAGAGUUAGAUACAUCAAACUACCUACAAUUUUCUUGUAAACUAUGCUAUCCACAUUCUUUAAUAAGUUUUAAACCAAACUCAGUUGGAGUGUUGGAAGAGUUACAAUUCUUCAUCUUGAAUUUGUCCAAAAUCUCUCUCACAUAAUUUUUCUCUUCCUUCAAGUAUUCAUGUAAGAAUGUCGACUUGAUAUCUAACUGGAAGAUUGACCAAGAGUUCUGCGCUACUAAAGCAAUCACCAAUCUGAUAGUGUUAUGUCUUGCAACUAGGGUAAAAAAUUUUGUGUAGUCUACACCAUACUCUUGUUUGUACCCCUUAGCCGCUAAUUGCGUAUUGCACUUCUCAACCUCUUUGUUUUCCUUCAACUUCGUCUUGUAGAUCCACUUGACACCAAUGGUUUUGUGCCCCUCAAGAAGAUCAGUCAUCUCCUAAGUAUCAUUCCUUUUAAUGGCUUUGAUUUUAGCAUCCAUUGCCUCUUUCCAUUUUGCCUCAUUGGCAACAUUUUCAAAACUUGUUGGGCCACAAUCUGUAAAUAAUGCAAAUUGAGCAAUUGCAUCAUCAUUUUCUCUAAUUUUGGUUACGUCAUAAUCUUACAUCCAUGCUGGCCUUCUUCGAACAUGACGAAGUGCUUCAGCUAUUGUACUAGUUUCUUCUUUAUGUGUAAACAAUACUUUAGUGGCUAAUAGAGAAGUAUUCUUGAGCAUUUCUUCAGCUUUAUUAUCAUAAAGAACUGUAUAGGUUGUGCUUCAUCCCAAUCCCAAGUUUUCUCUUCAUGAAACAUAACUCUCGGCUAAUCAUGACCUUCUUUCUCACAGGAUUAAACAAUUUGUAUGCCUUCAAUUUGAUGUUUCACUAAUACCAAAAAAGACACAUCAACAAGCUUCUUCCAUUUCUCCUUUGAGACAUGUGCUUAGGUAAUGCGCCUAAAAAUUCUGAAGUGAUCUAUCACCGGUCUCCUUCCACUUUAAGCCUUCUCCGGAGUCACAUCUUGAAGAGAAUUAGUAGGGCUCCUAUUCAAGAUGUGGAUGUUCCAAUUUAUAGCUUUUGACCAAAACACCUUUGGAAUUCUCCCUCUUACUAGUAGGCUUCGAACCAUGUUGAGAAUGGUUUAAUUUUUCCUCUCUGAUACAUUAUUUUUUUGUUGUGUAUAAGUAGUUGUGAGCUCUCUUUGGAUGCUGUGAACAUCACAAGUCUUCAAACGCCUUAGAGGAAUAUUCACCACCAGGACUAGUUCGAAGAGGUUGAAUGGUUCUUCCUUUCUCAUUUCCUACACUAGCUUUAAAGCUUUUAAAUUUGAUUUUUCUUGUAAAGGUAAACCCAUGUCUUACAAGUAUAAUAAUCAAUAAAGGUAAUAAAUUUCCAUUAUAAAUUGGAUUUAUUGGCCCACAAAUGUCUGAAUGCACCAACUCCAAUACCUCUUUUACUUUCCAUAACUUACUUUUAGGAAAUUGAGAUCGAUGUGGUUUGCUAGCAACAAAUUCUUCACAAACUAGCAAAGGAAAGAUAAUUGGAGGAAGACCAGUCACCAUAUUUUUAUUUUUAAGUAUCUUCAAACCACCAAAGUUUAAAUGACCAUAGCAAAAAUACCACAACCAAGAAGGAUAUUUAACUUCUACUAUUGUUGACACCAAUUUUUUAGAUGAAAACGGGGUCAACUUGGGUUUUGACGAAAACGAAAAAAACGGGAGUCACCACCAAUCCUUUUUGAUAAGGUGUGAUUGGAUCACCUUGAAAAGUGGUUGUUUUUAAUAAACGAUUUAAUUUUAUGAAAACAACGAGUUUGGUCCGCAAAAUUCAGAAGAAAAAAAUUCGGGUUCGGGAGUCGGUUACGUACGAGGAAGGAUUAGCACCCUCAUAACGCCCAAAAUUGGUACCUAGUUGAUUAGCUAAUGUCUUAAUGUCGAAAAUUGAAAACUUUGAAGAAUUUUAAAAAACGAUCCUUGUAUGUUGAGAUUUUUUGGGAAAAAAGGGCAUAUUUCACGUUGAUCGAGAAAAAGAAUCAUAUCUAGUGAGUUAGGACACAAUGUCUCGAAUUCCCGAUACGCGAAUAAAAAUGCUUAUUUAAAAGACAUUUUAGCUAUCUCGAAUUUAAAAGGGAGAUCACGACCAGUAAGUUAGGACGUGAUUUUUAAAACUUGAGUUUGAAAAGAUUCAUGUAAUAAAGUUUAAAAGGAUAUUCAAACGUUUAAAUCAAAAGAAGAAAUCACGACCCAAUACGUUAGGGCACAAUUUCUCAAAAUAUUAAACAUUAAAUAUUGCGUUUAUUGCGAAAAAUCCUCGUCUCGAGAAAAUAACGUGUCACGUCCAAUGCGUUAAGACACAAUGUAUUGAAUUCUCGAUAAUGAGCUUUUUAGUUAUAUUUUUUUUAUAAAAAGAGUAAUCUCGAUUAUUUAGAUUCAACAAAUAAAAUCGGAACCCAAUACGUUAGGGCUUGAUUCUCUCGAAGAUUCCAAAUACCGAGUGGUACUUAUAUUUUUAAAAUUUUCGCUUUUUACGUAUUCGAGUAAAAAUUAUAUAUGAUAGAAUAACUAUUAUGAUAUGCAAGUAAAAAUAAUACGAGCAGUAGCAAAUAAAAGAUAAAUAAAAGACAAACUAAUUAUACAAGGUAAUAAGCAGAUAAGCUUUUCAAAUAAAAUGAGCAUAAGAUAGAAAGCAAAUGUCGCACGAAACAAUGAAAUUAUAGAAGAAAUAAAAAGGAAUGUAUAUAAAAAAUGUAUAUGUAUGUAUUUGAAAUUAUACAAAAUGUGUAAGUGUAUAUACAUAUGUGUAUAAAAUUACGGAAAUAUGAAAAGUAUAUACAUGUAUACAUAUUUUAAAAUUAUUAUACAUGAAAAUAUAUGUAAGUAUGUAUUAAAAUAUGUAUAUAUGUAGGUAUAUAAAAAUUAUGAAGUAUAUAAAAAGAUAAAAGUAUGUAUAUAUAUACACAUUUAAAAAAAACUUAAAAAUAUGUACAUGUGUGUAUUUUUAAAAAAGAGUAUUGAUGUGUAUAUAUAAAAUAUAUAAAAAAAACAUAUGUAUGAAUAUAUACAUAAUUGUGAAUAUAAAAAGGGUACACGGUUAUAUACAUAUAGAUAUAGACAUGCGUAUGGAUAUUAAAAUAUAUAUAUAUGAGUAUAUGAGUAUAGAUAGAUUAUGAAAAUCUGCCCAUGCAAGUAUAUAUACAUAUAUAUAUAUUAUAAGAGCGCAUGUAUGUAUGUAUAUUUAUAUAUAAAAAAUGUAUGUAUAGACAAAUUAUAAAGUACAUAAAAAAAAAUAUAUAUAACAAAAUCUAAAAAUGGUAUAAAUGGAUAAAUAAAAUGCACUAAUAAUAAUAAUAAUAAUAAUAAUAAUAAUAAUAAUAUGAUGCAAUAAUAUAACAAUGAAUAGAUAAGUAUGUAAAUAAAAUACAAAAAUAACACAAAUAGACUAAUUAGGAAUAAAAAUAAAAUUAAAGGGUCGAAAUUGUAAUAAAAUAAAUACGGAGGGAUGAAAAUGGAAAAUAGCAUGAAAGGGCAGGGGCCAAAUGAGUGAAUAUACCAGACCUUGGACACGUGUCCACUUUUUAGGGCGCUGAGGGGUCAGGGAUCCGAUUGAAAUCCAAACAAAGUUGCAGGGCCGAAUUAAAAAGUGAAAAUAAACAAAGUUGCAGGGCCAGGAUUGCAAAUAACCUAUUCCAUGAAAACGCGCGGGUCAUGGGGCUAAACGGCGCCGCUUUGUGCAGGCUAUAAAAGCCAAAAAUUUGUCAAAACUUCUCAAUUUUCCUUUUUUCCCCAAAAAAACAAAAAAAGGCUCUCAAACCCCCCAUUUUCUGGUCUCGGGUUUGGCCAAGGGCCACCGUAUCGGCCGUCGGAUCGCCGGCGUCGGCGACGCCGUACACAGUGGCCGGCGAGUAUAGAAAGGCUUGCCCCUAUAGAUCCCGACCUUCUAAACUCGGAUCUGGCCUCAAAAUAACCAAAAACGAUGGGGAAAAGGUCGUUAGGCUUCCCUACAGUCGGUUUCGUCACCGGAGGAGUCUCCGACGAGGAGGAAACCAGUGACCCGCGGUGAGUUUCUCCUUUUUAUUUAUUUUUUAUUUUCGUUUUUAGAAAUCAAAAUAGAAAAUAAAAUAACCAAAAAAAAGAUUGUAAUCGAAAAAACUAGGAAAUCACCUUGAAGCUUGAUUUUUUUUAUUAUUCUGUUGAUAUUUGCUUUUUUGUUACAAAAAUCGGGAAAAUAAAAAAGAAAAAGCCCCCUCAAAGUUACAUGUUCUUCGGCUUUUAAAGUCAAUUUUUGUUACUGUUCCUGUCUUGUUUGUUUCUCUUCUUUGCAAGUGACGGUGCAAGUGGCCGAUGGUGGCAAGCGGUGGCAGUGUCAGAGGGCAGGUAGCUACGGCGCUAGGGUUUCAGAAAAGCUGAAACCCUAGUUUGACUUUGGGUUUGCUGGGCUAGGACAUUGGGCCUGUAAUUGGCUGUUGGGGUUUGGGUCAUUAGGUCAGUGAGCUGGUGGGCAAAAUUGGGCUGGUACAACUAUUAAACAAGAUUGAACAACCUCAAUCUUCAAUGGAAACAACCUAUUCUGACUUAUUUCCAUAAUAGCAACAACUGUUCUAGAUGGAUUAGAAAUCUCACAAGCACCAUUCGUGAAAGUGACAACAUACCCUUUUUCCAACAGUGGCAUCAAAGCCAAGUUUAUUCUUGUUAGCUUAGAAAACUUUUCACCUAUGGCCUCGAAAAGUAGUUUUGUUCAAGUAGUUAUUCCUUAUUUUGAUGAUCAUUAUGACCAUUGGAGUACGCUAAUGGAGAAUUUCCUAUGGUCAAAAAAGUAUUGGCCAAUGGUUGAGGCAGGUAUCGAAGAGCCUGCAGAAGGAGAAACUUUGACUAAUGCCUGGAAAGUAAAGUUCGAAGCGAGAAUGCUGAAAGAUUUGAAGGUGAAAAAUCAUCUCUUUCAAGCUAUUGAUUGUCCCAUCUUGAAAACUGUUCUUUGCAAAAAAACUUUCAAGGAUAUAUGAGAUUCCAUGAAGAAAAAGUAUCGAGGCACUGCCAGAGUGAAGUAAUAACAUCUUCAAGCCUUGAGGAGGGACUUCGAGACUCUAUAGAUAAAUGAAUGGGAAUCUAUCACUAGAAAUUGUGUUAGAACCAUGGAGAUUUGUAAUAGGAUGUAGUUCUAUGAUGAGAAGAUGGAGGGUGCCACCAUAGUGGAGAAGAUUUUGCGCUCCAUGAUGCUGAAGUUUGACAUGUCGUUUGCAUCAUUGAAGAGUCAAAAUACAUGAUGAAUUGUCUCUUGAUGAGUUGUAAAACUCUUUAUUUGUACAUGAGCAAAAGAUGAAUUUUACUUCAGCCUUCAAGGAACAAACUUUGAAGGCUUUUACUUUUUUUUUCAAUUUUAGAGGAAUAGGUAAAGGUAGAGGUAUAUAUUGGGAAAUGUGCCCAUAUUUUAGUAAACAUGUAACUACUUUUUAUUUAUUUAAACAGUGAAUUAAUAAAUAAAAUUAAUUUCACAUUUCGCUAUUAUGUCUUUUGUAUUUUCGGUCUUUUAUAUUUACAAUACAUAGCAAAAUUGUGACAAGCAAAUAUUAGCUCAUUGAUUGUCUAAAGUUCAAACUGAAGAUAAGUGACAUUGUAAAGAAUAUUUACAUUGUGAGAAAGACUACUUAUUUUAGUAGAUAAUCUAAAUUAGUUCGUAAUCUCGUAAAAGAAUCAAAGUGAGCAUUUGAUUCACAUACUGAGAAGGAUUAUUAUGUCUUCUACAAUUCCAAUUGGGGAGAUUGCUAGUCUUGGCUAUUGGAGCAGUUGACUCCAUUAGUAGAGAAAUAGAUGUAUUCAUUGGUAGAAUGAUACAUUGGACUGGACCCAAAAUGAAUUAAUUUUGAAUCUAUUUGUGAAUUAAUUCACUUGUGACGUUCGUGGUGUGGUUUACCCAAAUCUUAAGUUAGUCACUGACCAUGCGUAUCGAACCCAUGUGCUUUGAUACAAGUGGAGGCUUAUGCUCUAAGGAUGAUCGAGCCCACAGUCGGUAUGUUGGGUACAUAACUUGUGUAUGACAUGACUUUACUAGCAACAAUGUAAUUCAUAGCUCAAUUAAAGAGUUAAUGAUAUCCUCUCAUUGGUAUUGUAUGGAUUGAUAAAUAUAAAACGUGGCCACGGGGUGCUUAUUCUCGAAAGAGUAAUUUAUUACAGUCAUUUGUUGACAGUGGUCGUAUUAAUCAUUAAGAAGACACAAUGGUGAUAAUGAGAUAAAAUAAGAUUGUAUUAAGUGAACGACUUUAACUCAAAGGAAUCAAUGAUAUCAUAUGAGGGUAACACACAUCAUGAGGUCAUUGGACAAAGCAGUUGGAUGAAUUGCUUUCUUAAAGAGUAUACAAUAAGGAGUUUUCAAUUAUGGCACUUCUUAUGGACUGACUCUUGAUUAAGUAAUUGCGAAUUAUCGUAACGAUGCUUUUGGACAUAAUUACAAUCACUAGAGCCUAAUUGUAUAUGUUCAAUUGGUCCAUCCGUUAGCUCAACAAAAGCUUGAUCAUUCUGCAUUUGAAUCAGAAGAAAAUUCUACGACUUUAGAAAUGAUUUAAUUGAGUCAAUUUAUUCGAUAUGGAAUUAAAUUAGGUGGUCGUGAGAAUUGUUCAACUAGAGAAUUUGAUUAAAAAUUUUUCUUAAAAAAUUAAUUUGGAAAAUCUAAGUGAUUUUUGGGAAAAUUAAUUUUGAUCAAGUAAAAUUAAAUUAAUCAAAUCAAUUAAAAUUAAUAUGAUAUUUUUGGAAAUUAAUUUUCAAGUAAGACAAUUGGCCCAAUAGGUAAUUGAACUUAAAAAUUGGACCUGAGAUCGUGAGCGUGAGAGCCCAAAACCAAGACCAAGACCAUGACCCAAAAACUUGUCGAACUGGGCCCGGUAUGUGAAACCGGGCCGACGGUCCAAUUGGUGACUAGAUUGAAUUGGUCGGGUUGACAUUGACCCGGACCAAACCAGCUUAGGGUGCCGUAAGGGUGUCCCACCUACGUCACCGGACAUGUCGGUGUGGGUGGCUGCAACGGCGGCGUCCUGGUGACUGGCGGCAGUUGGUCAUCGAUGAUUGAGUUGUGGAAGGGUUACUCUCCUAUUGGGACUCUACCAGAGAAUUUGAUUUCAAAUUAACUACUUCAAAAAUAAUAUUAUUUUAAUAGUUUAACAUUAAAUUCAAUUUAAUGUUUAUCUUGUAGAUAAAUAUUUUAUUAUUUUAAUAAGAUUUAAUAUUAAAUUUAAUCUAAUAUUUAUCUUGAUAAAUAUUAGAUUAUAUUAAUUGAAUAUUAAAGUGAUUUAGUUUAAUCAUAGUUGAACUCUCUAAACUCUCCUUAUAUAAAGAGAGCAUUGAGUCAUUAUUUACACACACUUGAGUUCAAGAGAAAGUUGUAGAGAGAAAAUUUUCUGAAGAGAUUAUUCUAAAAAAUUUCUAGAGAUAUUUUUUUGAUUUAUAACUUGACCCAAAAGUUUAGAGAGAUUGCAAAAUUACCCCACUGGUAAUUUUUAUGAAAAAUUUUCUAAUUCGAAGUGAGCUCACAUUUGGCAGACAUGAGCUUGAGGAUUGUGGAGAAGGCUACUCGGUCGAAGCGCUAAUCCUAGACGAAUCAAAAAGAUAUAAUUUGGAUUAAGUGUUUAUUAUUUUAGAUAUCACAACCUAAAUUUAUUUUCCUCUGUAUUUUCUAAAUCUUUUUUCCAACAAUAUAGGGAGAAGUUUGAGCUAAUAGAAAAAGUGGCAACAGAAAUGGUAGCAAGAAUUACAAAAUCAAUGAUGACCAAAGUAAGGAUAAAUGACGAGAUUUUGAUAAAUCUAAAAUAAAAUGCUUCAUAAGGUAAAAAUUUGGUCAUUGUCAUUUUGAAUGUUAUUUUAGGCUACUAAAUGAUAAGGAUGAACAAGCGACAUUCACUGGACCAGGAGCGCCCCCUCUAGUAAAAGCUUCCACUGCCGGUUAACCAAUCACAUUGAAAAGGAAGCUGAGACAAAUGUAUAAUAUGUGGAUAUAGGUUGUAGUAUUUUUUUCGUAUUUAAAUGAUAAUUUUCGUUGUAGAAUCACCUCUGGUGAUUAUUGUACUGUCGAUUUCAUAAUUAAAAUUUUACAUGAAAUUUAAUGUUUUCUAAAAACCUUUGUUUUUGAAGACUUUUGUUACUAUACCCCGCUCCAUAUAAGAUCCAUCACCGUCAAAUGACAAAAAGUAAUUCAAUGCACUUUAAUUGUGCCAGCGGCUCCAAGCCCAUUGAUUUCACUAUAAAUUCCAUGCUUUUAGGUUAACCAUCUUCACACAAUCAAAUCAAGCUAGUUCGCAAUGGCUUCCACUACCAAUUCCCCAUCAACCCUCCUCACCCUUCCUAAUUUCUCCAUUCAAACUUCAACAUUCCUUCCCAAAACAUCUCAAGGUUCCAUAUUUAAGAAGAAAAAGCCUUUCAACUUUAACUCCAAAAGAGUAGUGUCAUGCAAAGCCAGCAAUGGGAAACAAAACGAUGCAAAUCACACUUCUUUUCUCAAUAGGUUCGAUAGAAGGGACAUCUUCCUUGGCCUUGGAGGAAGUCUCUACGGUGCAACCAGCCUUGUUAGAGACCCAUUUGCAUUGGCAGUCGUCCCAAUCGAGCCUGACCUGUCCAGCUGUGGGGAAUCAACCGUAGAUGCCGGUACAACCUGCAUGAAUGUCCCUUGCUGCCCACCAAAGUUAAAAGAUUCAAAGAUCAUAGACUUCGAACCACCUUUAGGUUGCAAGAUCCAUUAUCGGCCGGCAGCACAUUUAGUUGAUCGUGAUUACCUGUAUAAAUUUGAAUCGGCAAUGGAGAGAAUGAAAGCUCUCCCUGUGGAUGAUCCACGUAAUUUCAUGCAACAAGCCAAUAUUCAUUGUGCCUAUUGCAAUGGGGCUUAUAGUCAAGUGGGGUUCCCCGAUCAAAAACUUG